UUUUUUUUUUUUUUUGGGUAAGUGGGAGGUCUUGAAUUCAGACCUCUUACUUAUAAUUACAAGUGUUCAUAUUUCGGGAAAAAAAAUUGAAAAAUCAGCUGAUCCAAUUUAGAUCAAAUUUCAAAACAAUGGAAUUCGGAAAAAUCAAAAUAUAAUAUUCGAUAAAAUCGUUCAAGAAUGGAUAUUAAAAAUAUAUUACCGAUUACCAACCAAAUUAGUACAUUUUUUAUUACUAAAUAUAAGAUUAAAUCUUAAUCCUAUUACUAAAUACUAAUUUGUAAUUACUAAUUAGCUAACUUAAUUAUAAUUACACUUGGAAGUCAAAUUUUGAUGGAAGUUAGCGUGUUGGAGUUUAGUUUGACAAUUAAAUUUAGAAUUCUUGUUUAUUUCAAUGUUGUUUAAGAAUUGAGAUUAUGAGUUAGGGCUUAGGAUUAUGAACUUUUUUUUUUUUUUGCAUAUCAUUUUUAUUUGAAUUAAGUUGAUUGAAUUUUAUUAAAAACAUAUGAGAUAUUAUUUUGUUACAACAAUUUUUUUGAAAAAAAUUAAAAUAUUUAAAUUCACUAUUGACAUUUUUAAUUUUGGAUAUUACCGAAUUACUGAUUUUUCAAUCCAAUUCACCAAACUAAAGUUUGGAAGGUAAUCGAAUAUUAUUGGUUUUAAACAAUCGAUUCCUUAAUUACUGGAAUUUUUUUAAUCAAAUUUUCCAUUACUGGCAAUGGACGCCUCUACUGAUAAUCUCUCUUAUUUUAUCAUCAAACUCAACCCUUCCCCUAUCAAUACGGUAACUCUGCUGUCACUCUCUCCUCUUCAGAAGAAGUUAAGGAAUGAGAGGGCAGUCACUCUGCUGUCGCUUGGGACAGGUGGGAUUCGGAACAGUAGGAGGCCAUUUGAUAAUGAGGAGCCUAGAGAAUUUGCAGAUAGGUGUGCAGUUCAAUGGCACCGGGUUGCAGUUUACCCUGAGAGGUUAGGAGCGCUAACUGUGAAGCAUGCUGUACCAGGGUGAGCCUGUUUGGAUUUAUUUAGGCUUCUGUGAUUGACAUUUUGCAAAGGUUAUGGCUAUUAAGUGUUGAAAUUCUAAAAGUUAUUGCAUAUAACAUGUCAAACUCCUAUGUAUACUAACAUGAACUUUUAAUUCAAUUGAAAGAGGUGAAAAGAAACUUAGAAUCCAAAUUAAUGAAACUUGGAUUAUGUCCAGUGUUCUGCUGGUUUCUGAGAAACGACAGCUCAUAAUUGGGAAUUUAAUACUAAAGUGAGUCAGUUUUGUAGAUUACUUGGCAGACCACCAAAUUAGAUGGUUUAUGUUGUGGUUCGAGAAUUUCACCUUUUUUUUUAUUCAAUUUGUUGGUGUUUGUACAACAAAUCCUGCUCCGUAAGUCUUACCCCUUUAGUUGUUACUAUUUUUAUUGAUACGAACUGGUGGUCCUUGGGCAUUGUUACUAUGUUUAAUCAGUCUACUUUCUCAUCAUAGUUGAUUUAUUAAAGAUUGUAGCCUAUGGAGAUUUACCUUGGCUGUUUUUCUCUGCUCUCUCUCUCUCUCUCUCUGUUUCUUUCUACUGAGUUAGCUUUGAGCACGAUUCGCCCUGCACUUAUACUCAUCAGCAUGCACUGUUCUUCACUUAACAACCAUGAGCAUCCCUUGCUCCCACGUGUUAGUGCAUCAAUCAAUUGCUCACUUUCUUUUGAGUUAUGGUUAUAUCCUUAAUGUUAUUGAUGUUUGCAUCACCUCACAGAUCAGUCUUGUACGUGGAAGGAAAUCUGGAGACUAAGAUAUUUAAUGAUCCGAUAACUGGUCUAGUUCGACGUAUACGAGAGAUUGCAAUACGCCGAAAUGGUAAGUUUAUCACCGUGUUCCCACAUACUAUCAUAAUUGCACUGUUGUUAGUUAUAGUGCUUGUCUCCAGAAACAAGAAACUAUGUUUAUUGAAGGUACAGUAUCAAUUCAAUCUGUUUUAUUUUCUGAUUUCAUGUUGGUAAACUACAUAUUUCUGUACUUAUAUUGAUGCUGUUUUUUCAGCUAUUUGCCGCUCGGUGAUUUUUUUUUUAAGGAUGUUUGAAAGAAAUUUUAUGUAUGUUAGUCUAUGGUGUCUCAUCUCUUCUGAUGCCAAAAUAUGAAAGCAUUUGGUCACUUGAAAACCUGACUAGACUGUUUGCAUGACUGCUUAAUGAAUAGGAUAUACAGUAUCUGUUAACAGAUACAAAUGGAGCACUCCAAUUUUGCUUUUCAAUUGAUCUAUUCCUAUAAAGUUACAUGUAUAAAGCUUGUUCUGUCAAUGAAUUUUUGGAAGUUUCAUUUAGUACCCAAAAAAAAAAUGGUGAAACACUGAUAAUAUGGUGAACUCUGGUUAUGUGGGUCUUGUAGGUCGGCUGGUGUUUUUGGGACAAGGAAGUGAUAACCAGAAACCAUCACAAGGAGAUCUGAGAAGUGUUGGCUAUUAUUAAAGCGAAUCAAGUGUGAAAGCAAUGGGAGGCUCUUUGAGAGAGUAUUUUAAAACACUCUUGUAAUUAUGUUUGAGCAUUGCUUAGGGAGGAGAUUUGGGAUGGCCAGAUCAAGUCUGAUUAAGAAAUUGUACUAUUUGUCUUGCUAAUCUUGAUGUCCCUUGCUGAAGUAGUCCGUGGUUGUUACUGGGAGAAUAUAUUCCCAGUAUUGCUUCUGGUUGCGUUUGAUAGCCAGUUUACUUGUUAGUUGGAAAAGUACUUCUAUGCUCUCUCAUUUAUUGAUGCUGGUAUUUGUUAUGCUCAUAGAUCGUUUAACUGUGUUAUUCCGCAAAUCAAUAGGUAUAUUCUUGCAAUAAUCUGUUGGUUUUACUUCCAGGAGGGAGAGAAGUGGUGAAUGUGGUAGAGACAUUAGAAUGGUAGAAGAAAGCAAUGAUGUCUGGAACUAAUUUACGAAGGGGGAGCCAUUCUUUCUGCUGUACUUGCUGUUCCUUGUGUGUUAUGUGCUACACAUUGUUGGGGAGAUGGAGACUCUUAUUUAGCAGUAUACCUGGCAAUGGAGUAAUCUUCUUGUGAUAUCAAUUCAUUGUCAUAUUUUAGCUCGAUAGUAGACUGGAUUCUAAUAAUCAGAUCCAAAUGAAGUUUGAGUUCUAGUUUCAUGAAUGGACGAUAGGCAAGCGCACAAGUAUUUGGAAUUCAGGUGUUCAGUUUUUCGAGCCAGCUUUAAUGGCAUUCGUGUUCUAUAAUUGCACUCAAUUCCCACAUCGCCUGCGAGCAGAAAAGCCAAGCACGUUAUAUUUGCUCUUCGGGCAGCAACCAACGUCCCUUCGGGGACAUUCGAUAAAAUUGGAACGAUACAGAGAAGAUUAGCAUGGCUCCUGCGCAAGGAUGACACGCACAAAUCGAGAAAUGGUCCAAUUUUUUUGGGCUUUCUCCUGCUGAUUUUGGUCCAAAUUUUUUUGGGCUAUUUUACAGUGAGUGUUAAACUCAAUGACCCGGCUUUUCUGUGAUGAUUGUGGGCUGUGUUGCAUUGUGUGUCAAAUAUUCCGCGACUUUGGACUGCUCUGUUCAGCGUCAGUCUUUGCACUUGCGAAAUUCAGCUAUUUUUGCUUUUCUUUUUCUUUUCUUUUUUCUUGGCAAAAAUCUAGUUUUGCCUUAAUCAAUAGAAAGACUUAUUAAAUCUUACUGUCGAUGUAAGAAUUGAACUGAUAAGCGAGUCGUAAGAACUCUUGUAAGCGAUUUAUGAUAUCAUAAACCUGCUUUGACUCGUGAUGAUAAUCGAAGCUGAAUUCAUUCAAAUUUUUUAUUGUCAAAAAAAAAAAACUUGGUAUGGCUCAAGUCCAAAGAAGAAAGAAAGUUAUCCGAUGGAUCCUUAAAUUUACGGGUUCAUCACGACCUCGAGUUUGGACUAAAAAGUAGGAACCAGUUAGACUAUGAUGCCAUCAAAAACAGUACAUAUAAAAUAUCUGCAGCAACCCCCUGGUUCUUUAAGAACCGCGUGUUACAUGUAUUACAGCAGGUAGAACUUAAUUUUUAUUCAAUGAAUGCAAAAAUCGUUAAUAAAGUUUUUUGCAACUUAUAUUUGGCUUUAUUAGUUUUUUUUUUUCCUGAGCAGAUCGCGUUAUUAUCCUAAAAGGGACAAGCAACAAUAUCACUUGUCAUGUGCUUCAGUUAUUGUGAAUGGCACUCCAUUUACUCUGCAAUUUUUGCAAAAUCACUUUAACAAAAUGGACUAUCAUUAGCAAUAGCUGAAGUGGCAAUAGCAGUAAUUAUCCCACUGCAAAUUUGAAAGUCCUCAUGUAAUUUUCAUUAAGCAAAAACUUGAUUUCCUUUAAUUGGGCCACAUUCUGGUGGUCUAUUGCUUCCGAGUUCAGAAAAGUCGGCAAAACUAGAUGGCCCAAUAGGAAAGAGCUUGCUGACCUGACGAUACUGAAUUCGAAGCGAUCAACUUUCCUGGCUUAUGGCUUGGUUUCUCCUUUCCUUAUCCACAAAAUCAGUCUCUAUGGAGGAGAAAACAGACAUAUCAUGAUUUAUGAAAGUUAUUGGAGAAACACCAGCAGAAACAGAGCUAGAAUACAACCGAAUCAAAUGUGGUCAAGUCAGAAACUGAUGCAGUACUCACCCCAGUUACUUCAACCCCCAGCACUACCUCCUUCGCAAACUCAAACCACAAGUAUCAAGCAAUGCUGUAAAGUCUCACGCAGAGAACUUGCAAUUUGUACCAACUCAUCUUUGCUAUUACUCUUAGGCUCACAGACGGUGGAGCCAUUGCACCAUUCAAGAGCAAGAGCGGAGGAAAUUGAGGAUACAAGUAAAGAAACUGAACAACUUGUGGAAAGUGAGGAAAAUGAAGUUCCUAGGAACACUGAACUUGUGGAAAGUGAGGUUGCUCCUCGAAACACCGAACAACCAGUCGAAAGUGAGGAUGAUCCUCAAAAAACUGAACAACUUGCCCCAGAAGACGAUUCAAAGAAAACUGCAGAUCCCUGUGGAGAACAAAAUCCAACCCAGAGGGCAUUUCUUGAAGUGUCAAUUGAUGGCGUGCCUCUUGGUAGAAUUGUGAUCGGGCUAUACAGUGAUAGUGUUCCAUUUGGUACAGCCCGAUUCAGUGAUCUUGUCAGUGGUGCAGCGGGCAUUAGUUAUAGAAGAAAAGAAUUUGUUAAGAUCACGCCAAACUAUGUCCAACAUAGUGGAGUGAGAUCAUAUGGUGUUGAUGCUGAGCUUGCGAGGAAGGCUGGAAGCAAUUUGGCUGCUGACAGACUCACAGAUGAAUGGGAGAAGCAGUAUGCGGCUUGUCCAGGGACAAAGAAUUUGGCCAAAAGCAUUGGCAUUGUAGUGAGGGAUCCUUCAAAACCACCACCCAAGUUGAAAUUGAUUGCACGCAAAGGGAAGCUAGAGAUUGAUCAAGAAAAGGUGGGAGCGGAUCCUAAUGGGACAGAAUUUGUCAUUGCUAUUAAAGACUCGCCUGAACUAGAUGCAUCAACAUUAGUGAUUGGAAGAGUAUUGGAAGGAAUGGACGUUGUUGAGAAGAUUAGCCAAGUGAAGACAGUACAGGAGAAUACCAGUUCUCCCUAUUUCAGGUACCUGUUGUACUCUCUCUGCCUAACAAUACCAACAUGACAUUACAUAGAUGAGCAACUCUAUGCACACACAAUAGGACAAAUAACAUACAGCAAAUGAUCAUUUUCCUAGAUACAAUUUGAAAUUAACAUUUCUUCUUUAUGAAUUGCCCACCAGGGUAGCAAAGUUGAUAGGAGACAAAAGGGCUGUUGUAGCAGAGAGAGGCUUUAAUCGACCAUACUCAAAGGUGUUGAUUACCAAUUGUGGGUUGAUAAAAUGAAUGAAGCCCCUAUAGAUCACUUAUUUCCAUUUUGUAAUAGAGGACAAGAUUGUGCGGGGAAAUUCUUUCACAUUGAUGAUUCUCAGUAAAUUUUUGUGCUGUCAUAAAUUGGAGUUAUGCAUACAUGGACAGUACAGCUGCAAUCGCAACAAGCUGAAAAUAAUGAAAAGCUAUUACACUCAUCCUUAAAAGGAAAUCUUUAAAUUCAAGUAGGCAAGAAAAACUAGAAAAGCUAAGUAUGCAUACGUAAGUGUGCUUUCCUGAUUAGCUCUGCAAUCUCACAAUCAUUUGACAUGCUACAAAGUCAACACUAUCCCAGGCACUAGCUCGCAUGAGUAUGCUUCGUUCUUUUUACAGGUGGGGAACUGAAAAGCUUUCUGAUUGAAGCAAUUGGAUCAUCCACCUAUAUCAAAGAGAGGACAUAAGAAUGCAUUUGACACUUAUACAUUUACAAAGGAGGAAGCCAAGUAGACAGAGAAAAUUAAAUAGGCUAAGACUGCGGCUACAAGACAAAGAAUUCACCCAACAAGCAUUUCAGUUUGGAACCGUAUCUCAAAUGGGUUUAGGUAAAAUUUUACAUUCUAGGCUGAGUCAUUUGAGACUAAGAUGAAAACUGGGUGCAGCAACUAAGAAGCAAAUUGAUACAGAUGCUGUACGUGAUGCUCUUAUUAUCUUGGAUCACAACAUUGAAAUGAUAGUAACUAACUAUUCCAAGUGUUAUGCAUACUCAUAUACUGUACAAGGUGAACCAAGUAGCAUAAAAUUCUAUGAUUAGGAGCAUAAUUCAAGAUGCUUGUUUAGCUACAGCAGAUUGAAGAGUACCAACCAGAAAAAUACAUGUACCAGUAAACCAAAAUUGCAGACCACGAUAAACACCAAAUGCGAACUAUACUCUCUAAUUUUGGCAUGCAUAUUGUAAUUACUGCUGCUAUUGUAUCACUUCGUCAUUUACCUCAAUUAAGGAAGAUGGUGGAUUUUCAGCAAAGGACUCCGAGAAUUCUUUAUGGCGUUGUAAAGCAGACAGAGUUUGUUUCCAUCCAGGAGCAGAAUUACCAAUGGAUGCAAUCCACGGACAAAAAAGUUUGUGCUGCCUGAUCGGAUCGAACUCCAUCGAGUUGUGCAGUGAUUCUUGUUCUGGAUUCCUUCCUGUAGAACAGCAGAUAAAAAGCUUACCAAUAUUUUUCAGACUAAGAACUAACCUCUGAACCCUCUAGAAGUAGACCAGAUAAAAUAUCAGUAACUACUUUUUUUACAUCAAUUGCUAGACAGUCAAAAUAACAUGAAAGUAGGAAAUGGGUAAGAACCUUUACAGUGUAUUAUAUAUGUUAACAUACCAGGACACAUAUCAUGCUUCACAUAUAGUAUGAUGUUAUAUGCAUCUGGGAAAACACCAUUCAAUAUCAUAAAAUGUUCAAGGUUGAUAUGACAAUUUCUCUUAAUUAAUGGGUACAGAAGCAAAAAUCAUAGAAAGACCAGAAAAGAAGACACUAUUUUUUUCUUUGUCAAGGUAAAAGUUCAGAACAUGAGACACUGCAAAAAACAAAGAUAGCUCUUUUACCCAAACUAGUGUGAGGAACAUUGCUGUCUCCAGCCUGCCCUCCAGACUCCACAGCAUUGUUACUUUCCUUAUCACCUGGCAAGUUGUCAUUUUUGCAUGUGGCAGUCUCAACGACCAUCCCAACAUUAUUUUUGACAUUACAGCUGGAAAAUUCCCCAAUUUGUGACCUGUUACAGUCCUCGACUACAGAAUCAACUGUCUUGGCACUACCCACAUUUUUUACUAGCAUGUCAGCACUACCCAAACCUCCUCCUACAACCUCCAUGUUUUCAAGUUGUUUUUCAUUAUUGGAAACUGGUUCACCAACUUGAUCAUUUGCCUGUUGCGAUGUAUUCCCUUCCACCAAUGCCAUUUCUUGGUCUUUACAGACCAUAUAGUUGGUGGAAAAUCGAGCUCUCAAAUUCCGUCCAAUCAGAGGCAAAGAUAUAGUUGCUCUAUAAUUUUGCUUUGCAGGUGGAGGACCACCAGCAAUUGUCAAAUUCAAAGUACAUGUUUUCUCAUUUGAAGAUGUAGAAGCCGCAAAAUCAUUACGACCCUCAUUGCUGGAAAAGGAGCUCCCAGGAGCACUAUUCUUGGAUUGGGGAGUAUCAUUUUGACCAUCAACUUCAGUAUAUCCAACCAACCUCAGAAACUCUAUAGGUUGUGGAACUGAAGAAAAAGCCCACAAACCAAUACUAGCACCACAAAGCCUGCACUCAAAGACAACGGAAUUGGGUUCAUAGAGAACUCUCUCAGAAGCCUGAGAAUCAUUAACAGCCUCCAAAACCCCUUUAGCAGAGGAACGGAUGACACUCAGAUUAAGCUUAUCAGAGGCUAGAUGAGGUUGAUUUGCCAAAUUUACAUUGUUGCUAGAAUCUUCUUUUCCAACCUUGCAAUCAACAAUAUAAGGUAAUGAAUGAAAUUCCCAGCCAAAAAGACUGAUUAGCUUUUGUGCCUGCAAAAUACAAUGUUCAUGUUAAUAAACAUCAUAAGAUAGAAAAUUCUAGAAGGUUAACCAACUAACAUAAUGUUAGUACCAAUACAAAUCAUGGACCCGUUCAGUUCAAACCAAAAGCAAAAGUCACACUGCUAACAAAUACAAGAAUCCGGGAGUAGCACUAUUAUUAGCUGGUCAAGAAAGUGAAAUUGAAACAAGCUCAUGACAGAUGACUCCAAAGGAUCUGUCUGACUCUGUUUGUGUAUGCAUAAACACACAUUAAAUGGAUAGCUUCUUAGCAUUCCAUCAAAUAUACAAUUUAAACAAGCUUUGAGCUUCAAGAUUGUAGAUCGUAACAAAAAAUAAAUGUAAUGGGCAGAAAUUGAUGAAGCAGCUAACAAAUACUGGCAUUAAAAGACAAUCGAGCUGCUGAAAGUCAUGCAAAAUGGCUGAAGACUAUUCUUUACAGUAAGAUAUUAAAUAUCCCUCUACAAGUGCAUCACUUGCAUACGUAAUGUUUGAACCUGAUAGUAUGAAGCAGAAGAUGCUGAAGGAGGGUUAUUUAUGAGACUUCUACUAGCAUCAGCAGAUUUAUUCUUCUCCGCACCUGAAGGUCCUCCAAAAAAUUGCUCCAGCUGAGGGCUUCUUAUGUAAUCAAUGGCGGAAGGUGAAAUGAUUGGGAGAGCUGAAAGCUGCAAUAAAGCUGAACACCUUUUUUUAUAGUCAUCAACUAAAACAGCAGUUGGCUUUGGGGGAAACUCUGCAAGUUUUUCGUCACAGAUAUUGUCCACCCAUGGGCAAAGUAGUUUGUGCCCAGUAUCUAGCUUCAAACUGAAUACCAAGGCUGCCUUCUCAACUGGUAAUGAGUCACCAGGAACACAGUAGAAGAGAACCAAAAAAGAAAGAAAAGAUAUCAGAGAGAAACAAAGAAAUGAGUUGCUUCACAAAUCAGCUACAACAUGAAGAAUAAUUUGCCCUCCACAUAGCAGAAUGGUAAAGAGAAUCGUGCUUACCUUGUUGCUGUGUCCAAGACGAUGGAGUAGAAAAAAGAAGACGUGCACCACAUGAUUCACAGGCAAGGGUAUCCAUAUCCACAUUGAUCCAACCCCUCCUAGUGCAAUUCACUGCACUAAUUGUCUGAUAUUGAUGGAGAGAAUUAAUUUUCUAAUUCUGGCUUGUCUUCCAGAGUUUGAUGGAAAGAGAGACAAUAAAGGCAAACAAUACCAAGAAAUAUAUGUCUUACUUUCAAAUGGAGAAAGGUCAUAUUUGUAAGAAUUUAAUCCAAUUUACAUACAAGAAGUUUGGAACUGCAACAUAACCCAUAUCUUAAGUCCACUUAAAUAUUUAUGGUACCAGAUAUUAUCUCUCUACAAGCUGUACUUCAAAUCCACCAGUACAUCCAUAGCUAAAUGUACAAAUAUGCUAAAAGGAUGUUUUGGUAAGUCUGGAAAAUCUCACCUAAUUUUCUGGACAAGUCUCUUUGAAAAGAUGAACCACAGUGGAUUCUAAAUGUGGUGUAUAUAUCGGUGAUGUGGGAAUGAUGGAGUUUUACAAAAUAUAAAUUUCUGGUUUCAUGAAUAUGGAGAAAAAUGGGUGACAGAAUGUAUGAUGUUAUGAGCACCACAAUGGCCACUAAAGGCAAACAUCCAGGUUGAAACAAUUUUGACAAAUGAUGCUAUAAUUAUAUGGCAAAGUGGAUCAGCUUAUGGAGCUUCUAGCAUCUCAUUAAAAUAGGCAAGAUUACUUUAUGCUGUAACAAUGAAAUGUUGCCACGCCUCAUUGAUCUUGUUGUGGAUAUCUCAUGGAAGUUUUAUCAAUUCUCAACUAUCCGAAAAAUUUUGCGUACUAGAAUUGGAGUUAUAACUUGGAUCAGGAAAAUUUAGACAAAACUUUAACAGCCAAUGCCCAUGAUUGAUAUUUGACAAGAAAAGAAUUAAGUCUUGCAAUUUAGAACCAAUCAUCCAAAAAAAAAAAAAAAAUCCAAUUCCCAUUGCAGAGAGCAGGCUCUGAGAUUUGUACCUGUGGUUUAGCAAACCAAGUCAUGGACUUGAAAGUAGACAACCUCCUAAAUAGAUCAUCACGGUUCCAUGGUCUGCAAGAUGGAGCUUGUAUUGAACCACUUGAACCGGAUGACACCUGCAUUUCCUCAGUUGGAUUUAACCUCGAUUUUGGACCAAGUAUGCCCAAUGCAGAGGAUACAUUCGGCCAUUUCUUGCCUUUCAACCACCGAACUCCAUCAGCACUACUGUUUUAACCAAUUUUGUCAAAAAAAAAAAAAAAAAAUCAUUGGCAACAAGUUUCACUCUCUCUGGUUGUAGCAGUCCAAUUCUUAUUGACAAACACAAACACACAAAAGAAAUGCAAGAUCAAUUUCCUUGCUUGGAGGUAUCCAAUUCUUUUUGCUUGAAGCAAAAAAAAAAUAAAAUUGAAAUACAUGCACGCACACAACAAACACACACAAAACACUCCCUUUAAAGGUACAUUUUGGUAUUUCAGGUAGAAGCUUCUAUUUUAACCACUCAAACACAGUAUCAUACUCUACAAACAAGAAAAAAUCAACCAAAGUUAUACAAUAUUAAUAAUUAAUAUUUCGGCUUUAUAGCGCUUAUGCAUCAACAUUUCAGUUAUCAGCCAAAAUCAUACAUUGGGUUUGUUUGGAUAGUGUAUUAUUUGAAAUAUUAUUUGGAAUAAUUACUGUAGCAACAUUUCAGUUCACAAUAACUUCGAAAUCCAAACAAGAAAAAUUAAAAUACAGAGAAAACAACGAAGUGACAACUUCAGCAGCUAAAGUUCACUUUCAACAAAAAGAAAAAAAAAAAAAAAAGAGUACAUAAAAGAGCAAUGAGAAGCCGUUGAUAAAAAAUUGUGAAAGAGUUAUAUAAAGAGAAUUAACGAGGAAAGCUGAAGAAGAAGACCUGGUGGUGGUGGAAGCAGAGGAGCCGUUAUUAUUAUGAUGAUUAUUAUCGCUAUUAUUAGGCUUGGAUUUGGUGGUGGCGGUGGUCGGAGAUUCCGGAAACAGCCUCUCUAAUAUUGCUUCGAUUCUCUUUUGUGCCGCCAUCUCUCCUUAUUGCUAAAUUUUUUGGCCUGAGAAAAAAAAGGCUCAAAAGAAUCUGGACAUAAUAGAAUUUACUUGGAUUUUGAAGAGCUAAAUAUGGUAGUAAAUUGCUCCGGCAGCGCGCCACCCCAAAGUGAAGCUGUUAAAUUAAUGAGCUGUCCAUCGGAAAAUUUUUUGAAAUCUUUUUUUUUUUUAAACCACAUUUGCUAAUUACAUUUUUAUCUAAAAUAAAUUACAUUACAAAAACUAUUAUAGUAUACAGAAUUUGUGGAUAAAAAAAAAAAGAUUUUGAUGGUAAUAAUUAUUAUAAUUAUAAAGAAAGAAAGAGAGAGAGAGAGAGAGAAGAUUCUAGUACUAUAUAAACAUACACAGAAAUAUAUUUAUUAUUUUGAUAUCAAAAGUUUUUCUUUCAUUCAAUUAUAAGGUUUUGGGAAAAGUUUUAGUUAGGCAUUUGUUUGAAAUUUUUUUAUAUUUCUAGUCGAUUUUUUUGUCAUAAUUUUCCUAAAAUUUAUUUCUUGGUUCAACUAUUUCAUUCCCUUAAAGAAAUAUUUUAAUCACAUUCAUAAGUGGAUUCAAGUAUUAUUGUAUUUAUUUUAUUUAAGAACUUCAAGUAUUGGUAUUAUUGCUUCAAAAUUGUUAACAUUAUACCAUGUUUUGUCAACCUAUUAUUUAUUUAUUUAUAUUAGACUUAGUUGGACCUUUCUAAUGAAGCCCAAUAGUCGUAUGGUGUUCUUGGACGCUUGGACCUGACAAUGGAAAGGUCCAACAGAGAGUGUAUGACAGUAUGGGGUUGUAUCAACUAACAAUUCUUUUUUAUCCUUAGCCCAGCCCAAUUCAAAGUGCAAGUUCAAGCCCGUUUCUUAAUGCAGUUUUUUUGUGCCUCAGCUAAUCGAUCUAUCUCUCUCCCUCCGUCUCUCCUCGGCGGGGCAAUUCGGAACUAGUACGCCUUCGGUGGUGAGAUUGGCUAUUCAGGUAAGUAAUACUAUACAGUGAUUUCAGCAUUGCCUUUAGAUUAAACCUGUUUCUUAAGUUUAGAUUCUAAGUUCAAUGGGUGCUUAAAUUUACAAGUCUAUUUAUGAAAUGAAUUUCUUUUGGGAAUAAAAUCGAACAGGUGGAGGGCAAUGGAGAGCGAAGAGGAUGCAGUGAAGAAAGAACGGGUAGUGGAAGCUCGAGCUAGAAACAUUAGUCAUAAUGUGAGGUGUACGGAAUGUGGGAGUCAGUCCAUUGAAGAUUCUCAAGCUGACAUUGCCAUUUUGCUCAGAAAGGUAUCCCAUUUUCUCCUCCCAAUUAACACAACACUCCCCACCAAGUUAAAUUCAUUCACUGUGGAUAUUUAUUCAUGAGCCAAAAAAAAUUUUCCGGAGGAUAUCGUAAAUUUAAGCAAUUUUGAGUUUAGUAGUUGUAGGUGUACUUUAAUUUAGUCUGCUGAGUCGAAUUGUAUGCACGGAUAUUUUGAAUUGACUCUUUGUAAUGUUAAUUAUAUAGAGCCUUCAAGGAGCUUUGCGGACCUAUUUUUUUAUAAGCAGGGUGUUGUGAACUUAACUAGCGUUCAUAGCAUUGCAAGAUUUUACUAGUUAAUUUUUUGGUGGGGUGUCUGUGGCAGAUAAUCUCAAACUGGUGCAUAGCUGGUUUUUUGCCCUGUCCAUUCUUGUCGGUUAUGGGAUAGGUUUGGCUUAUGCAGUGAUAAUCUCAAACUUGUUUAUGGAUUAUCUGGUGUGCUUCUUAUUCUGUUUAUUUAGAUGCAUUUUGUUCGGUAGUUAUGACCAGUUUUCAAACAAAAGACACUGAGGAGUUCCUACCAUCUUUCUUCUGUUUGGUGGUGUUGUUUACAUACUCUUCUUGCAUUUUACCAAAAUUUUAUCUAGCCACUUGCUGCAUUUGUUUUCUUAUUUAUGCUUCCAUAACCUCACUCGGAGCUGUAUUGUUUACGUUACCUGUUGUAGUUAAUUCGGGAUGAAAUCCGGUCUGGUAAAACUGACAAAGACAUCUACAAAAAGCUUGAGGAUGAUUUUGGUGAGACGGUGCUUUACGCACCAAAAUUUGAUAUGCAGACUGCUGCUUUAUGGUUGUCUCCGGUCUGUAACUCUCACUACCAUUGGCGCGCCCCCUUCUUUAUUUUAGGGUUCUAUGGAAAUUGAUCACUUAUUUUGAACCUUUUCUCAAACAGAUUUUAGCUGCGGCUGCUGCUGGAGGCAUAUGGGCUUAUCAAAGGCAUAGACAAAAAACAAAUGUGCACAUUAUGGCUCUGAACCUAGUUAGAGGAGUUCCAUUGACCCCAAAGGAGAAAGAAACUAUGCUCGAUGUUCUCACACCACCCCCUCCCGAAGGAAUCACUUCUUCCUUUUGGUGGAGGAGGUGGGUUGGUCGAUGAAGUUUCUCGCCUGCAUCACAUUCACUAGAUGUGCUGAACUCCUCGGACUUGAAUUAUCACAUUACCCGGAGCUGGCAACUAACUAAUAUGCAUGCAGGAGAAAUGGUCCCUGGCCAAAGUUUCCACUGACUUGUUUCGAGAUUAGGAGAAGUAUUUUGAUUUGUCAAGUUAGUGAAAGUGUUGGAGUUAACUGGUUGUAUAUGAAAUGUAUUUGGUACCAUACAAACUUAGCUGAUGGUUAUGCUAAUCAUGUGUGUCAUUGCCAUUUGAGCUGUUAACAUUUGUGAUUCUUAAAUUAAAGGUUGCAGGAUUGAUUCUAGUGAAAUACGUUCAAGCAUAUUUCAGUGUGCUGCUAGUUUUGCAGUCUUUGGGGAUUGAUUAUUUCUGAAGAGCAUCAUGAUGGGCUCCAAUAUUUACUCCCGGAUAGAUAUUGUAAAAUGUGCGGGGAUGCGAUUUACCAGAGAAGAAAGAUUAAAGCAUAGUUAGCGAAUCCAUCAAAACCGUUCACGUUAACGAUUUACCAGAGAUCGAAUAUCUUUUUCCCACCCUUGGUAAAAGUUAAAUUAAUCUUCUUCUUGGUGUCCCAUGUCACCACCUAUUGACUUCAAUUACUUUUUUCGUUCUUGAAAAAAGUAAAAAUUUUAUAAGAAACGUGCUAAAUAAAAUUUCAUGGGCUUUUCUAUCUUUUUUAGUCGUUCAGCAUUUGAUAUCAAAAGAUUUACUCAUAUUGGCAUGUAAAAAGUAAAUAAAAUCCACAUAUUGAUGAAAAAAAAAACCAAGCUUCUAGUUCUAGCCAGCCUUGUACAAGUUUGAAUUGGUCAAGUUAAACUUGAAAAACAGUUACACCAAGUCAAAGAUAAGCCCUCCCUAAACUGUUGCAGCCACCACUCCAACAUGCGCCAUAACUCCCUCCUAAUCCCGCUCCACAACCUUCCUCUCUCCUUUUUAAGUCCAGCUUAGUACUCAAAUUUCUUCACAUUUACACUUUUCACAUCAAGAAACUCAUACAAGCAAAGAGCUCCCUCUUGAAAGUCCAAACAAACCAAAAAUGGCUUCUUUCUUCCAAAGUUUCUCGACAUGUUUCCUCCUAGUAUCCAUCUUCACUUCACUCCAUUUCUUAACAGGGAUUUCGGUUGAGUUCGACGUUGGUGGCAACACUGGCUGGGUAAUUCCUCCUUCGAAGAACGAUGAUCUGUACAAUGACUGGGCUUCCAAAAACAGAUUUAAAGUCAAUGACACCCUAAGUAAGUACUUGUCAAUUCUCCAUUUCAUUAAACUUUUUUCAAGUAGUAAUUGAAACUCAAUGCAAAUACACGUAUACAUGCAUGUGUAGUUUUUACGUACAAGAAAGAUGCGCCAUAACUCCCUCCUAAUCCCGCUCCACAACCUUCCUCUCUCCUUUUUAAGUCCAGCUUAGUACUCAAAUUUCUUCACAUUUACACUUUUCACAUCAAGAAACUCAUACAAGCAAAGAGCUCCCUCUUGAAAGUCCAAACAAACCAAAAAUGGCUUCUUUCUUCCAAAGUUUCUCGACAUGUUUCCUCCUAGUAUCCAUCUUCACUUCACUCCAUUUCUUAACAGGGAUUUCGGUUGAGUUCGACGUUGGUGGCAACACUGGCUGGGUAAUUCCUCCUUCGAAGAACGAUGAUCUGUACAAUGACUGGGCUUCCAAAAACAGAUUUAAAGUCAAUGACACCCUAAGUAAGUACUUGUCAAUUCUCCAUUUCAUUAAACUUUUUUCAAGUAGUAAUUGAAACUCAAUGCAAAUACACGUAUACAUGCAUGUGUAGUUUUUACGUACAAGAAAGACUCUGUUAUGGAAGUGACCAAGGAGGAGUAUGAGAAAUGCCGAUCGCUGCAUCCUAUGUUCUUCUCCAACAAUGGCAACACAAUCUAUGCAUUGGACCGAUCGGGUCUGUUCUAUUUCAUCAGUGGGGUUUCAGGACACUGCGAGAGAGGCCUCAAGAUGAUAAUCAAGGUCUUGGAUGUAGAAAGCACCCCUCAGUCUGCAAAUCAGACGGCAAAUACAUCAUCUCCUGCAAAAAGUGCUGCGGCUACGUAUUUUGGAACUAGUAUGAUGAUGGUUAUUUUGGCAGUGUUAGGGGUGAUUAUUGUCGUUUAAUGCUUGAUCCCAUUUUGUGAUUAGUUUAGAUGGAUAAAUGGAUAUGAUAGCUAGCAAUCAGGAGAUGAUCUUUUAACUCCUGAAUUUGUUUUCUUGAAUUGAAGAAUGUUUUGGUUCUGAUUACGACGCAUGCUUGCAUCUAUCUGGUUGGAAAUUAAUGUGAUGAUUGAUUAUUGAGGUUGGUAGUAUCAGUGCAUUUAGAUAUUUGGAGCAAGAGUCUUGUUUGGAUUUUGCAAGGCAAUAGCAGAAAUGUCUCCCACAUUUUGCAAAAAAAAAAAAAGAAGAAAAUCUAUUUCUUCCCUGCAUAGACCCCAAAAUAAUAAUUAUAAGGGAAGCAUUAACAAGAAACAAAAGCAGAAAUGUCAGAUUUCACCAUACCAGCAGAAAUGCAGAAUAAUAGAUAGAAUCAUAAGCCCUUAAUCCCCUUCUUAAUUGCUAAAGCAAAGUUAGAGAACCAUUUUGUUGCAAGAAAUUUCUGCAUGUGCUGUUCUGCUCUGCUAGUACUCUUGAGCUGGACCUUGCGGAAACCACAUGAAAAGCUAUCCCUUGAUGUGUGAAAUUCCCGAGCUUUCGAGUAAAAAGCAAAGGAACCAGGAAGCUGUCGAGCAAAAAUGCUCUUCUGAAUGCUAUAUGCUCCCUGCGACUGUAACCCAGAAAAAAUAUGUUUUAGCUUUUCAAUCAGUGGAAGAGGAAGGGAAGUUUCAACACAUCAUGAUAUGUGACAGCACUUCAUGAGAUGAAAGUAUGUUCACCUAAACAUAAACAUGCAUGGUAUUUAAAGACCACUCUUCCUUACAUACUUCAUCACAUCUAACUAGCAAGAAGAUAACUUGCAUGGUCUUUGAAAAUCAGUCAUCCUUACAUAUGCAUGAAGAUAACUGCGAAGUCGUGCAGAAGGCAGCAUGGCAUGUUUCAUACCACGAUCUGCAUUGUCAAGAAGCAAUAACUAGUUUAGCGAAUGAGUUCUCACAAUUACUUCUAUUUUAUAGAAUAGAAAUUCUUAAAGUGAAAGUGAUUGAGCCAGGGGUUAAUCACCUUGGAUGACGUGAAUGGAAUUCUCUCUCUCAUCCAAGACCACUUUUACUGAAGUUCUGCAACACAAAAGUAGAAAAAAAAAAAUCAUAGCAAGAAUGAAACACUAUGCCCAACUUACUUACAUAUCAAAAGCAUUUAAUUUAAAAAACCAUGCUUUUGUGGAGGUGCUUGCAGUUUAAUUUGGAUUAAGUGAACAGCACAAAUCAUAAGGCUUCAGAAAUUCGUAAUGUUCAAAAUUUAAAAUGCUCUUUGAGAUCAGCUUUACAGGGUGAUGGAAGGUUAAUGUCAAAAGCAUGAAUUUGAGGCUUUAUACAGCUCCAUGUGACUAAUUCAAGCUAGUUUACAGACAAGACAAAGAGACCAUUGGUAUUUUUAAUAUUUGAAAAUAAGACAGGAGACUUAUUGGUAUAGUGACAGGAGAUUUGUUGGUAUAGUGAACUUCUAAGUGUAAUAUGACUUUCUAGACCUGUUGAUAAACAAUAAUUUCUUAAAUGAUGCCCUUCUAAUCGCAUAUAUACUUUGACAUUUUCAGUGCUGAUUAGGUGCUUAUUUGACUUAUGUGGGAUAUUAGUACUUAGGUUACUUGUGUUUAUUUCUCCCGUCUCUAUCCUUCGUAUUUUAUGAAUUCCUAUUAACUGUGUACUUCAUAUGCCAAUGGAUGCUUAGAAAGCCUGUAGUCAGGAAGUUAAACGAUGAACAGAGUGCAGCUUUGGCACGGUUCAUUCAUGGUAAAAGACGCUACUCUUCUGCUGUGCCACCAUUUCACAGGGUAGUUGUGCAUGGUGAUCCCUUUGCUGGAGUUAAAGCAGUGAAAGGAACCGCCGGAAGGGUGCAGCCGAUGAGGAACUUAAUGAGGUGGACUGCUAAUGAGUUGGUUACGAAGAGAAUCAUUAGGAGGAUAAGAGGUGUUUAAUCGACGAAAUCUUGACUCGGCAAUGGUGACAGGAAUGGCUUGAUCCGCAUUUUGUUUUUGUUCCAUGUGGACAACUUCGCCCAAGGAACUGAAGAAUAGUAACUUUGUGGUCAGAUUUAAGUUUACUAAUCUUGUUUGCUUCUGCAGUAUAUCUUGAUUCAUCGCCGGUUAAGCUGUGUUGUUAUUCUCUCCCUGGAUCAGAUUCAAAUAGCCAAGAAAUCUUUUUUAUGUUUGACAUAUAAGAGAUACAUGGGCUCGCUUUGGUUGGUUUUGAAGCCUUGUAGUGCACAGUUAUUGUGAGAAAAACGGAACGAAUGCUGCAGAAGAAAAUCAGCAAUUUUAAACAAUAACUACUCUAUUGCAGGACAUUGGACGGGGGUUCUAGACUGAAAGCUGAAGUCUUUGUAUUCUCUUGUACUUUUUCUCAAUGGACCGCUUGAGUCCAAUAAUUUACAGUCGUUAGCUGGGAAUUUGGUCUUUCAUAAAAAAAGUUGUAAGGAAUUUUCUAAUUGUUAUCAACGGGCACUUGUUAAUACAUUUGAAUUCCACUCGAUAAAUAUAUGCAAUCAUAAUUAUUGUGAUAAUUAUUGCUCUCUCUCUCUCUCUCUAUAAAGGUGAUUACACUGUGUUCACCAAAAAAUACUUUACAUUUUCGCUUGUUUUGAUAAUAUAAUGUUGCAGGCACUAAUUACUAACUAUAAUUGCCUUACCUUGUGACUAAAACAUCUGCAAGGUGAUUUUUCAGAAAAUAAUUGAUAAAGGCAUUAUUAGUUGAAUAAUUACAUUGGACAUGUUUUUAGAUGUAAAGCAAACUAUGGUUAAAUAUCUCAUUUCAAAAUCCACGCAUUGUGAGCAUUUUUUUCAUUGGUUAUUAUAUGCUUUUACAUAUAACUAGAAAAAUCCACAUGCUCGUUACAAACUAUACGUAAUAGAAAAACAAAAAACAUAAAUAAAACAUACAUUUUGGUCUUGAAUGUUGUUACAACAAAUGUUCAUGUAGAUAAAAACUUGUCUAAGUGACCAUAUAAGGGGGAAGGGAUGGGAUAGAUGGUAUCGGGGAAGGAGUGUAAGUGAAAAGUCUUACUAAUUAUGAUACAAUAACAUUAUUAGUUAUGUGGCCUUACAUUUAUGCAUAAUAAAUUCUUGUUUUGCAUUCCUUGAAUUUCUUUUUGGAAUAGUUGUUAGAAAAUCUAAUUAGAAUGCAGCGCCUCUUAAUUCCAUGAGGUUCUUUUCCUUCUUCCUCUUGGGGUGAUCGUCAUCUGAGUCACCCUCAUAAGACGAGGAAGAGGACUCUUCAGGCUGUUUUCGAGAAGACUCAGCCCUAUCCUUACCUUUCAUAUGCCUGACAAUCUCUUCAAAGAGCUCUGGACCUCUACAUGAGGUUGUGAGUUCUUGGGGAUGUCCUGAUCCCUUAGAUCGGCUGUACAAUCUCCGGAAGUUUGGGGGUUCUGAUUUCCACGAUUAGAGCGAGUCUUAGCUAUUACAGAGUAGAGCAGCUAUAUUCACUUCGUUCCCACAGACGACGUCAAUUGUAGAGUCACGAUUAAAACUCGCGAGAAGACUGGAGAUUGGCAAACUCUAAUUCGGGUUUCCUAUAUGAGAUCAAGAGCAAAGGCGAGGCUAUUCCUCCGAUUUGACUUUGAUACUUAAGUUAGCAAGAGUUGAUAGUUUGGGAGCAAGAGUUGAUAGUUUGGGAAUAAAUUACCGAACAGGAGGGCUAAGAAGCAAUUGCCUCUAGGGUUCAGGAAGAGGGAUAUUUAUAGUAGAACUUGAGAAGCAUCCUUGAGGUUCGAACCGCAUUGAUGAGAUAGAAUGCGGCGAUAGAUCAGUUAUAGGUCUACUGUUGCAGGAGCAUAGGCCUGCAAAAGAUGGAUGUUAUCGAGAGAAGAAAUGUAAGCGAGAGGUCCCAAAUUUGAAACCUCCCACUUAUACUAAAAAAAGAAAAAGCUACUAAACAAUAACAUUAUUAGUUAAGUGGCCUUAUGUUUAUGCAUAAUUAUAAAUUCUUGUUUUGCAUUCCUCAAAUUUCUUUUUGGAAUAGUGGUUAGAAAAUCUAAAGUUUUUCAAUUGAAGAAUGAAAAUAUUUAAAAUUUACUUCUGGGCACAUAUCUCAAUCAACUCAAGUUUAUGCAUGUAAAAACAUACUACCUCUUGUAUUAUCAUUUUAAGUACCCCUAACGAAAUGAAUGAUGUUUAAAUAGAGUAUUAUUUAAAAUAACUAUUGUAGCACUUUUUGCGAUGUGAUGUAUAUAAGAUAUAAAGAUAGUUAAAAAUAUAAAAAGAUGGGUUAGAAAAUAUGUUUAUAAUGUAAGUGAAAUAUUAUUUGAAAAAUUUUGUUAUCCAUUCAUGUCUCUAAAAUUGUUGGUAACAUAGUUGGAUUUGACAAGAAUCAAGUACUUUGGAUUUGCCUUAAAGAGGGCGGGAUGGGAUGAAUGGUAUCUGGGAAAGAAAUGUAAGUGAGAGGUUCCGAAUUCGAAACCUCCUACUUAAACUAAAAAAAAAAAAGGCUACUAUACAAUAACAUUAUUAGUUAAGUGGCCUUACGUUUAUGCAUAAUUAUAAAUUCUUGUUUUGAAUUCCCCAAAAUUCUUUUUGGAAUAGUUGUUAGAAAUAUACUACAUAUCUCAAUCAACUCAAGUUUAUGCAUGUAAAAACAUACUACAUCUUGUGUUAUCAUUUUAAGUACCCCUAUCGAAAUGAAUGAUGUUUGAAUAGAGUAUUAUUUGAAAUAAUUAUUGUAGUAUUUUUUGUGAUGUGAUGUAUAUGAGAUAAAAAAGUAGUUAGAAAUAUAAAAAGGUAAAUUGAAAAAUAUAUUUAUAAUACAAGCGAAAUAUUAUUUGAAAAAAUUUGUUAUCCAUUCAUGUCGUUGGUAACAUAAUUGGAUUUGAAAAGAAUCAAAUACUCUGGAUUCACCUUAAUAAAUUGUACUCUAGAUGCUAGUCAUAAUAGCUCCUAUUAAAAAUUAUUUUCAAUUAAUGAGAGAAAGGAAUACAUUAUACACACAUUUCUACUUGAAAUAAUUGAGAGCUAUCUUAUAUAUUGAUAAUGACUGAAUGGAGUUUAAACUUUGAUAGCCAAAAAACCAAAAGAAAAACGAAUUAUUGUUAAAAAGGAAAAGAGAUCCUUGAUGGCUCCAACAAUGUAUUUAUAAUGCUGUUCAAUUUGUCUGUUUUCUUUCUCGCAAUACUGGAUUAGAAUGCCUUCUUUAACCCCAUCAUAUGUGGUGCCGUAGCUACAUCAUAUAAUUUGGACACAUUAGAAAAUUUCAAAACUUCUUAUUUACUUCAAAAUGCAUGGGUAGAAAGCACAAUUAGCUGAAGCCUUAAGGACUGUUACAGCAAUUUGUUCUUCUAUACAAGAUACCCUCAUGUUGCCGCUUUUCUUGUAAACGAACCUGACAAAACUGGCGGCGGUCUGCGGCGGUGGAAGAACCAUGGCUACUGAGAAAAACCCUAAGUUAGAUUCUUCCAAAGAAGGCGAGUCAAUUAAGAAGAAACGACAUCGUAAGAGAGGCAAGAAAUCGAAGCAGUCACCAUCUUUACUCCCAGAACGACCUACUGAAGCUACUGAAGCUGAAGAACAAGAAGAAGAAGCUACAGAGAAUGAUGAUAAAUCUGAGAAAAUAACUAAUAAGGAGAAGAAGAAGAAGUUGAAGAGGCCAAGAGAAGAUAAUGAGGACGACAAUGCAGGAGGCGGAGAAGAAGAAGGAGAAAAAGAAGAAGUGGAGGAGAUUAUGAAAGUGGUGAAGAAUAUGGGGACGGGGUCGGGAAUCAUGAGCACGGAGGCGUUCUCGUUGUUGCCGAUUUCAGAAAAUACUAUGAAAGCUAUUAAAGAGAUGAAUUUCGAAUUUAUGACCCAGGUAAAAUAACUUUCUUGCAAUUCUUAGUGCUUAUGAAGUUUAGGUUUUGUAUAUUAAGCAGAUAGUUGUUGGAUGGAUUAUUUUGCAUUUAGUUCAGCUAUUUCUAGUGAAUUGAACUAUUGAGUGUGCCAUGAGGUUUAUAUUAUAAUUGAAAUUGUGAAAUUUGGUGGUUUAAUCCAUAACUGUAUCUUUUUUGGGCAUGAUGAGCUUUGAGUGUGUGAUUAGAGUUUACUACGUUUCGGCCUUUUUCCCUUUUUUUUUUUAAAAAUAUGUAUUGAGACAGUUCAAGUCUUUCAUGCUUCGAGCAAAUUCGGGGUAGAAAUAGGGUCAUUUGUAUGUUGGUAUCUAAUUGAUAUAGUCCAGAAGUAAACUGGUGCAGAUUAAAUGAAUUUAAGAGAACGGCAUGAAGUUUAAGCCUUCCAUUAGGAUAUAUAUAUCCUAUGAGAAAUGUGCAAAUUUUGUUAUUGUGUGAGGACACAAUUUAAGCAAAUCCAGUACACUUGUUAUAACUUAUCAAGUUCCAAUGACUUUGAAAUUCAUGAUGUAAUCAAUAGGAAUUUCUUUGUAAUGUUUCUGCACGCUAAUAUUUUUUUCUUAUGAUUGAAGAUCCAAGCCAGAGCAAUUCCACCACUUCUUGAGGGUGAAGAUGUACUUGGAGCUGCAAGGACGGGUUCUGGUAAAACACUUGCUUUUCUGAUACCAGCUGUGGAGUUGCUACAUCAAAUUCAGUUUACAGCUCGGAAUGGUACUGGUGUUGUUGUCAUUUGUCCAACAAGGGAGCUGGCCAUACAGGUACAGACUUUCUUGCUCUUGUUCAAUGGCCAGGCAAAAUGAUUUUGCCUCUCUUAUUUUAUAAAACCUCUGUUAAACGUCAUCAGGAAUGUCCCACAGCUUUCUUAAUAUCCAGCUGCUACCCUACUUGUUUGGGAAAGAAGAUGCAGAAAAUGUAGAUGCAUUUUCUCUCUGAACCUUAAGUGGUGUUUCUCGUCUAUUUUGGUUGCUUUGAGUAAGUGUAGCCAUAGCUGACUCUGUUGUAGCUAUCAGAGAUAAUUGCUGUAUUAUAUGUUUACUGGAGCAACUGAUAUAAAGUUUUGGUACUAGUUAUCUCAGGUAGCAAUAUGAGACACUUUAUUGUUGCAGUGCAUCUAUGUAAGCCUAGACAAUUGAAUUUGCCAGAUAUUCCACUGCUACUUCUGCAAUGCAUGGAAUAACAAACUUGAGAGUCCUGUGCACAUUGAUCUUCCUCUACUGAUGCCCUAUCUAGAAUAGAACAACAUCUUAAUAUGGAGUUGUACUGUAUGGGGUUGUACUGUAUGUUAGUGACCAACUGAACCCUGGAUCACAUGGGUCUGACUUUAAGCAUCAAUUAAUUGAUUUUUUAUUCAAUAAUGCAGACGCAUGCUGUAGCAAAAGUUCUGCUUAAGUAUCACUCGCAGACUCUUGGCUUAGUUAUUGGUGGUGUGGCACGACGUGGAGAGGCUGAGCGUAUUGUGAAAGGAGUAAAUCUCUUAGUAGCUACACCUGGUCGUCUUCUUGACCAUCUCCAAAAUACCAAGGGGUUUAUUUAUAAAAACUUGAAGGUAAAUUUACGUUAUUUUGACUUUAUGAUCUAUGAUUUUCAAAUUUUUUUUUUUACAUAAAUCCAAUUAUGAGCAGUUACAUGGAUGCUGCCUGAAAUGAAGUGGGAAGGGAACUUGUUGAACUCUCUUGUGCAGGAUUUAACCUAUUAAAAUUGUGAAAACAUUUCGCUUUUGGUGUUAAUGUCUGAAAGGAUUUUUCCAUUCAACUGGACCUAUAGACAAGCCUGAAGAUUAAUACUAUUUAAUCAAAUAAUUUCCUUAGUUGUGUAGUUUGUAAACAUCCAGAAAGUUUGACUAAAGAUGGAUCAUUUUUUUUUUAUUGAAUGAUGUGAAUUGAUCAUUUUGGUGCAGUCAAUUUGGUCAUUUUUAGACCUGUUGAAGUUUCUUUUCUGCUAAUUCAGCAGAGUUGGAUAUGUGUCUACAGCUGCCAAAAAAAAGAAAAAAAGUAUAUGGCUGCAUAUUGCCUGGUCUUUUUUCCACAACCCAGGUUCCUGAAUCUCCUGAUUAAUUGGUGGCUUGAAUCUCUUUGGAGAUGAAGUGCUUUACUUAGGAGUUCUGAGCUAAAAGCUUAUAAUACAAAACCCAAAGAAAGCAUGAUUCUAGGUGUUUGCAUCAAUCGAAAGAGCCUGAGCUAGUUGGAUUAUUAUUUUUUUUUAAUUUCCUCUUUUUCCUGACAUGUUUCUUUCUUUGGAAUAUAUAUGUAAUCUGUUAAAGAAGUCAGGGAAAUGCUAAUAAAUGUUCUCCAAUGUCAGAGCUGGAUGAUAAGACGACUAUUACAUUAUGUUGACAAUUUCAAAAAACUGUUAAUACUAUGAUCAUAGUAUGAUGGCUGUUGCGCAAGUAGGCCUCCAUCGUCUAGUGGUUGAGGACAUCUCUCUUUCAAGGAGGCAGCGGGGAUUCGACUUCCCUUGGGGGUAGGGUACUACGAAAGGAAAUUAAUCAUGGAUUAUCAAUAAGUCUAAAAGUGAUUCUUCCUGGGCCAAUGCCCAAGUGGUUAAUGGGGACGGACUGUAAAUUCGUUGGCAAUAUGUCUACGCUGGUUCAAAUCCGCUCAGCCCAAUAAUUCGACCAAUUUGCCAAUCCAUCGAUCACGAGAGGAUAUAACCCCCUAUCUUUCAUAAAGACUUGAUGGGGAGAUCAAAAGAACAAAAAUCUCUGCAAGAUCCCUUUUUUCGCUGGGAUUGUAGUUCAAUUGGUCAAAGCACCGCACUGUCAAGGCGAAAGCUGUGGGUUUGAGAAGUGCCUCUCUAAACAAUUCUCUUCAUCACUUAGGCUGCACUAUGAUACCGACAUAUAUAGGAUUCCAAUAUGAAUUCAUCGUCAACUUGUCUAAAUUUGGAAAGAUGUAUCUGUCAACAAACUAAGAUUAAAUCUCCUGUGUUAGAUACUAUGUUGACUGUUGCGAUACUGCACUCAAAACAUGCAACAAGCUCUAAUAACUUGUAUAGCAUAUUCUCUGUCAUCAGAAUGCUAUUAGCUGCAUUUCCUAGCUUCUCUGAGGAAGAAAGCUGCCGGAUGAGAGUACUUGCUUCUUAACUGCAAUUUUGAAAAAUAGAAGGCAUCAUCAAAGCCAUUUUUCAGAAGACCUUUGCUGGAUUAUCUUUGGAAUGGUGACUGUAUUGUGCUGCCAACCUAGUGAUGUACAGCAUUAUUUUGAUCUUCAAAUUCACAUCUUUAAGUUUUUUUUUUUAAUUCUGCCAUGUAUAGCAUCUAUUUGAAUGAAAGGCCUCACAUAUUUACUAUACUCUUAUUUGUAUGUUGAUUAUUUCUACUGGAUUCAGAUCAAGUUUCUCAUUCUUUGGAAGAUAGAUUGACAUAUUUUCACAUUUUGAUUGAAUGGAAUGCUUGCAGUGCCUCAUGAUUGAUGAAGCUGAUAGGAUACUUGAAGCAAAUUUUGAGGAAGAAAUGAGGCAAAUCAUUAAAAUUUUGCCUAAGGUACGAUUUGGUUGUAAUUACGAUAGUAUAUACAGUGCAGAUAUCCAAUUUCAAUUUCUUCCUUUGACUGCUUUUCAUUGUCGAUUAUCCUGUGAUUUGUAUUUUGGUUCUGGUUUAGUUUGGAAGGUGACACAGUCUUUAUUCAUUUGCACCUCAUAUAUCAGUAGUUUUGUCUUUUCAUUUGUCAUGAGGAUUAGAGCAAAUUUUCUGUGAUUUUCUUGCUCCAUUUUUUCCCCUUGUUUCCUAUGUUUUGAGUUGCAAAUUCUUUUAUACGUUUGCUGAGUUGUCCACAUGUUUUUUGCAUUUUUGGAUGACUUUAACUCAUAUUGGUGAAUAAUGGUCUAUGUAAAUGUCUUAGAAAAGACAUCUUGGGUGAGUUGCCAUUUGUUAACCCAUACAUAAAUGUGUAUCGAAGUUGUUCCUAUAUUUAGGCACAUAACUAGAAUUUAAUUGCUGUCUCAGAGUUGCUUUAAAUGUUUUGUACUGGUUGGUGCUAUAUUGCAGUAUGACUUUUUUCUGUGAGUGCAUUUAGGCAUAAUUGUUUUGUUAUUGGCAUUGUGCAUUGAAUUUGUACUAACGAGGCACCGCCUGAUGUGCAGACGAGACAAACAGCUCUUUUUUCUGCCACCCAAACGAAAAAGGUAGGUGUUUUCUGCUCCUUUUGUUUUCUUGGUACAAUAUUGACUAGGAAGAGACCUGUAGUUCCUGUAUUUUCAUUGGACUUCAUAGAGAAGUUAUGCUACCAUUUCAGGUUGAGGAUCUUGCUCGCUUGUCAUUUCAGAAAACUCCAGUCUACAUCGAUGUGGAUGAUGGACGAAGAAGGGUAACUGGGUUAUAUAUUCCUUUGUUAGUACUUGUGGGCAAUGUUGGUUUUUAGUCUUCAUUUAAGAUGUUGGAUACUUUAGGUCACCAAUGAGGGGCUGGAACAAGGGUUCUGUGUUGUCGAAAGUGCCAAGAGAUUUUUACUACUGUACUCCUUUUUGAAGAAGAAUCUGACGAAGAAAGUGAUGGUUUUCUUCUCCACUCGUGAUUCCGUUAAAUUCCAUUCUGCGCUUCUGAGAUACAUACAGAUAGACUGUCUUGAUAUCUAUGGAAAGCAAAAGCAGGAAAAACGAACAUCUAGCUUUUUGGAAUUUUGCAAAGCCGAAAAAGGCAUCUUGUUAUGUACAGAUGUUGGUGCACGAGGUCUUGAUAUACCCGCUGUGGUAUGUCCUCGAACUAGUUCUUUUUUAUCCUCGUAAAGCAUUUAGCAUGAAUUGGUUCUAAGGGUGUUGAAUACUGAAAUGUUGUUUUGAUAUGUCAUUAGAAAAUAUAGAUACCCUAGAACUAGAUUCAUCAUUCCUUUCCCUUAUGUUUCACAGGAUUGGAUCGUGCAGUAUGACCCCCCUGAUGAACCUAAGGUGCAGAUAAUUCAUCCUUCUUGUAACUUUCUUGGUGUCAGAAUUGCCAGCACCCAACUUUAGAUGACGUGCUUAUUCUCAUGCUUCUUCAUGUUAUCCCUCUCAGGAGUAUAUUCACCGGGUUGGUAGGACUGCACGUGGGGAAGGUGCAAAGGGGAAUGCCCUACUUUUCCUGAUGCCGGAAGAGCUAAAGUUUCUUACCUAUCUGAAGGUAUGUUCUCCUGUUGCUAAUAACUCAAAACAGGAAGUGCUAUAAAUGGUUAAAGAAAGUAGGAAUGCUAAAGCCAUCAUCAUACCAAUAGAUCAUGACUUUUCACAUUGGGACAUGUUGAGAACCUAAGAAUCUUAAGCAAGGCUGUCCAUUUUGAUAAAUCCUUUUUCUAUACCUAAGAGAAAAAUCAUUGGACCUUUCUCAGACAGUUUGAGUUUCAUUAGUAAUUUUCUUAAGGAAGUAGAGAGAUUAGAUUGGGUAGAAGAUGAGGGGGGAUCUUUGUUGCCACAGGGUAGUUUCUUUGUGAUUGUGUUAUAGAAGCGAAAAGUUUCUUAGACAAGUCUCUUCAAAAUCUACCAGUAGGUUGUGAAAGGCUGCAUGGGAAGCAAAUAAACUAUAUUAAUUGGCGCUUUAGAUUUUCUUCUAUGCUGUAAUAUACUAUAAUUUAUCUAAACGCUUUUUAUGUCAAUAAUUUCAGGCUGCUAAGAUACCUGUCAAAGAAUAUGAAUUCAAUAACAAGAAAUUGGCAAAUGUGCAGUCUCGCCUGGUAAUUCUUCUCUGCAAGCUUUUAUUUUCUUUCAGUAUCUGAGUUAUUAUUGGAUUGCAGAGUUAUUUCCUUGAGCUCACCUUAAUAGUAAUGGGUUUGAUGCAGGUAGAGCUGGUCUCUAAUAACUAUUAUUUGAACAAGUCUGCUAAAGAGGCUUAUAGAUCCUAUUUACUUGCCUACAACUCACAUUCUAUGAAAGAUAUUUUUAAUGUUCACCAACUUGAUCUUCAGGUAUUUUAUUCUUUUCCUGUGUUUUUACUUGCGAAUUACUCUUUGGUGGAAUUGUUUCUUUACAUUCUCGUGUAAGUCUGCGUCUGGUGUCAUUAUUCGACUCAUUCUCAGAUAAAACAUUCUGUUAUUUAGGAUAGCCCUUGGAUUUUUUUGGCCUUGGAUGACAUUAUGGGUUCUUAACUUCCUGUUCUGGAUCAAAUUAAGCUGUACCUUUCCUUUUUUUUUUUUUUUUGGCCUAAUGAGUGCUGGGUUUAUGACAUUCUAGAAAUUAGGCAGUACAUAUGUAUAGCAUGCUUGAAUGUUUUAAUUUUAAGGGCCCGUUUGGCAUUGCGGUAGCUUAUUGAAAGUACUUUCCUAGUAGACCUUUUAAUAAAAGUACUUAUUAACUGCUCAAGUGCUUUUAAAUAUAUUGUUUGGUGACAUAGUUCAAUAAGUAUUAUUGUUUAAGAUAAUGUGUAAUUUGAAAAUUUUUGAAAGUGUUUUAUCUCUCUAUUUGGUUCAUAAUAUAGGAUAAAACGAUUAAAUUUGAUGUUUUAUUUUUUUAAUCACAAAAGCUACUCUAAAAGCACCACAUUUGGGUUUUUGCUAAAAGUGCUUUUAAGAUCAAAAGCUCUAUUCCUAAUUUUAUGAGAUGAUGUUCACCAAACACUUUUAAAAGCACUUUUAGUACUCUUAACACCUAAAAGUGCUUUUAUACCAAAACCACCGCAACCCCAAAGGGGACUUAAAUCCUUCACUUUUCCUUUCUUGGUUUUCCCUUUUUCCUCUGAUCUUUCAGAUGUUGGAUGGAAACCAACCUCUACAAUUGUAGAUUUGGAUGCUUUUGUCGUUGUACGUAUAGAUUUGGAUUGCAGACUUUGUACUAGAUGGAUGAUGCAGAAUACGAUCUGGAUUGUAUUUUUGAGUUCUAUAAGAAUACUUUGAUGCUGCGUCGUCAAAAUCUAGUUAAUCCUUUUGUCUUUUGCAGGGUGUGGCUGCUUCAUUUUGUUUCUCUUCUCCUCCAAAGGUAAAUUUGAAUAUAGACAGUAAUGCUUCCAAGUUUCGGAAGAAAAUGCGUACCCGAAAUGGGUUUAGUGCGAGCAACCCGUACGGGAGGAAGAGUGAAGGCGAUGUACGACAGUUUGUCAGAUAUUAACAACAUGUCCGACGUCUUACUACAGCAGCAGCAGCAGCCUUGGACGCAUCGCGCCAAUUUUGUAGUGUCAUGUUAGUUGAGUUUUUAUUUGUGAGCCAUAAUGGUUAGUUUUGUGUUGAAUACAAAGAAGUGUGUUGUUGUUCAAGGUCACAUAUCUUUGUGUUAAAUACUUUGGUUUAUUCUAAUUAUCUUUUCUUACAAUAUAUUUUUAGCGCUUUUCCAUUUUGGGAGGAAAAACACUUGAAAUGCUCUGUUCCAUAUUCCAUUGAACGGUUGAUUUCAUCUGAAAUGCACUUUGUUAAUUAGGGUGCCAAAUUGGUCUCAUCAUUCCAUGCUUGUGUUUUCGUAAUAUCAAUAAUAAUACAUAAAAAUAAAAUCCAAUGUAUGAUCUUAUGCUUUACCAUGUCAUCAUCAUUAUUAUUGAUCAAUUCGAUUGUACAUGUCUAUAUAUGUUUUUUUUUUUUUUGAUUAAAAGUUGAGACCAUUGCAUAUAAUCAAUAGUAAUUACUCAAUAAUAUUUUAGUUCUAACUAAAAUGUAAUGAUGUAACUUAUUCUGUGAUGCCAAACUAUACAUACAUAGUAGACAAAUAUUAACAUCACAUAUGUGAAGACCAUGGAUGGAAUUGAUACUUUAGACGUUUAUGAUCUCAACUAAGUAUGUAGAGGAUGUAAUUUACAAUAUAAAAUUCUACCGCGGUAAUAGUGGGAUAUUACUAUCUAUUAAGAAUUAAAAAGAACAAGAGGAAAGAAUUUGAUCAUCAUAUUACUGGAAGGCAUAAAUUAGUGCUCAUGAUUAACUGCGUCAAAUUCUUAAUUUCCUUUUGGAGUUAUAUAAUUACUGUAAAAACACCUAGGAAUGAUGAUCAGCAUGGAUAAUUAUGUCCAAUUUCUUAUCCAUAUGCCUAUGAAAUGCAUGAUUGCAAAGGGCGAAAAAAGAAGAAAAAAUUCUCUAAACAAAGAAUAACAUGUAGGCAUUUGACUUUUAAGUUUAUACAAUAUGAUAUCUUUUAAUGAUAAAGACAUCUUUAGGCUUUUAACAAUUUCUAAAAAGGUUAAAAGGUCAUUUGUUGUACCACUAUGGCACUAUCUAAAGCAAAGAUUCUCAGUCAGUCCACGGUGAUUGGAUAUCAUCUACCGUCGAUCUGGAUGACCAUUCUCCACAUCUACUCAGGAUCAUAUCUUCUAUAGGUAUCCUUCUCGAAGUGUUCAUCAAGCAUGAUGCAGUUGAGGUACACCAACAGUUAAAAUACCCUUUGCUUUCUCGUUGAAGCACAAAUAAAGAAAAGGAAAAUAUUAAAUGGACCCCAUGAUUCUUGCUAACUGACCGUUUUGGGGGUUCUGACCGUUGCAAACACCCAAUUGAAAAAUUCAAAAAAAGGCCCACCCAAUUUUUAUUUCUACCAGGAACACAUGCAAAAGCUGACAAGUAAAAUAAAUUCUUAUGUGGUGUGUAAAAAGUAAAAAAUUAGACUGCCCCUACAGUACCCUUUUGUUGUUAACCGUUAAUUUUUCUCCAAUCAACGGCUGUGAUUUUUUCUCCAAGAACCUGCCUAAAUUACGCACAAACCUUGCAUCUAUCCGAGUUUUUCCCCCCCUUUGCUCACUUCAACUGUUACAGCUGCUGCUACUGCAUUUUCAUCCCCCCAAUUUUCAUAACAAGAUCGGAACUUUCUUGAAAUUCAAGCAGUUUCAGCACAAGGGUCAUCAAGAAAAUCUCAGGGGCAUGUUUGGAUUGAAAGAUUGUUAGCUAGAAUGCCAGUGUCCACAAGGUCUAAGGCUGUAUUCAAUCAAGUGCAGGAUGACCCAAAUCAAGGCCAAACAACCAGGGCAAGAAAUGAUCAAGAAGAAUCCCAGAUGGCUAAUCAGAUGAGGAAUCCACAUCAUGGUCUAAAGGAGAAGAUGAAAGCAUUGACCCUCUUGUAUGAACAGCAAAAACAAGCUUCAAAUGCUCUCAAGAACCCUGCUUUAAAGCAUGAGGAGCCAAGAUUUUCAACUCACCCCAGCAUAGACCUCCUCAGUUCUGGCAAAAGAAAUGAUAAUGAACCGAAGGAAUCCAAAGAAUCAAGGCCCAUAAGUCAUGUGAUGAGGGAGAACGUAAUGCCUAGUUCAACCGUGACUAGGAAUUUUGUGAUGCCACAGCCUUUAGGGGUGGAGGAGGCAAAGGAGAAUGUUGCGGUGGGACAUGGCGGUGAUCAGAUUGUGGGGCUUUCAUGUCCCAGAAAGACAAAUGUAUCGAGUACCGUGGCCAGAAAGCUGUCAAUGGGCAGCUCUGUGAUGCCAUUUUCAGAGCCGCCUAGAGGGUACCAAAAGGCGAAUGAACAAGAAGUAGAGACGAUUACCGAGAGACAAGGGAGUGUUGGUGGUGGGAAUGGGAGCAGAAUUCUUGUUUUUGUGAGGUUAAGGCCAAUGGGGAAAAGGGAAAGAGAAGCUGGAUCAAGAUGUUGUGUGAGGAUUGUGAAUAAGAGGGAUGUUUAUCUGACUGAAUUCGCCACUGAGAACGAUUAUCUCAGGCUAAAGAGGCUUAGGGGUCGUCAUUUCACUUUUGAUGCCUCAUUUCCUGAUUCCACUACUCAACAAGAAGUUUAUUUUACGACGUGAGUUCGAUAAUACUUCCAUUUUUGUUUUCAUUAACUUGUUAAAUGGCUUUUUUCCCCUUCUUCAUGUUUGGCUGGAUUUGGAUUUUCAAUUUUCUUGUGGACAAUUUUGGAGAAUACUAUAGUUUGCUGGCUUUUUUUUUUGUGGCUUCCUGUGUCUUUAUAGUAGGAUCCACAUUGAGCAAGCACUACAGUAGCCAAUCUAGCAGUUACUAUGUUGUGCAUUUCAUAAAGGUAACUUGGUUCUGACUGAGAGUAGCAAUAGUGAUAGCUCUUUGAAUCCCUAAGAUUCUAUUAUUGAUUUUGAGUUCUUACCUCACAUCUUAAAGUCUCGUUCCUAGCUAAACUUGUUCCUUCUAUUAUUGGUAAAAUAUUCAGCUUCCAGAACUCUUAUGUAGAAACAUAACCAGGAUAAAAAGCUAGGACUAAGUUAGAUGAUAGUUAUAGCCAGAAGUAUUCCUCACUUUACCUUCUUAAGCUUAAAAGGAAGAUAGCUUAGUGAGAUGGUUGAUCAUCUAUUACUGGUAAAUUUUCAGAACAGCAGAGCUAGUGGAAGCAGUUUUGCAGGGUAAAAAUGGAUCUGUCUUCUGCUAUGGUGCCACAGGAGCUGGAAAGACAUACACGAUGCUAGGUACAGUAGAGAAUCCAGGUGUAAUGGUCUUGGCAAUUAAGGAUCUCUUCAACAAGAUAAGGCAAAGAAGCUUUGAUGGAAACCACCUUGUUCACCUGUCUUAUCUUGAGGUAUACAAUGAAACCGUGAGAGAUUUGCUUUCUCCUGGAAGGCCUUUGGUCCUUCGAGAAGAUAAAAAUGUAAGUACCUAGUUAAAAUCUACAAGAUUUUCUGGUAAUGAGUCCAUUUAAUAUCAUGCAUAAGGGUUUAUUAUCUCUUUUUUCUUUCAAGUUAAUUAUGGUAAUUAUUGUAUCCUUCAUUUUAUCGUCAUUGAAUUGGUGAAAAUUACAAUAGUAGUUAUGUUGGUACCUUCUGUUUAAGAUGGUGAUUGUUUCCUUUCUGCCAAAUUUUCCUCAUGAGGCAGACAUUUGAGUAUAAAAACAUUUCCUGUAGAUUGGUUCAAAAUAAUUAACCAACCUGAAGGUACAAAUAAGCAAAAAAUUUGCUGGAACUACAAAUGCAUAGAAUCAUCCUUCUUUUAUUGUGUUCUGAGUUUGUCAGCUAAUUUCAAGUACUAAAAUUGCUGAAUUUACAUCCAUUUGAAAUCAAGCUUGCAGCUUUUGUGUUGCCAAUCAUUGUGAACAGCAUUUUAAAGGCUCAACAAUCUAGCAUAUGCUUUUGUGUAAUCAUGUAAAACUUGCCAUGAAAACAUACUAGUAUGCCAAAUUUCUAUUUAAUACAUGAUUUUAGUAUCCUGGUGCAAAAUUCAAUUACUUUCUGGAGAAAUGAUUUACUGCCUUUACUAAAAUUCUAGGGGAUCGUGGCUGCUGGGCUAACUCAAUAUAGAGCAUACUCCACAGAUGAAGUAAUUUCCUAAACUCCUUUAAAUUAGUAGAAGAUCAAAUUUCUACUUCAUCAAAGAACUACAAUCAGACCGUUUUGCUGUUUAAUAGGUAAUGGCUUUACUCCAACAAGGGAACCAAAAUCGAACAACUGAACCUACCCGUGCGAAUGAAACUUCAUCAAGGUCUCAUGCUAUUCUUCAGGUAGUUGCGUUUCUACCUUCCAUUUAAAUCUUAUGCUUCUUCUAUUUCCUGACCGUUUUCCGCAAUUAAUAUUACACUCAGGUUAUGAUUGAAUACAAAGUCAAAGAUGCUGCCAAUAAUAUUGUCAGUAGAGUUGGUAAACUUUCGCUUAUUGAUCUUGCCGGUUCAGAAAGAGCUCUUGCAACAGAUCAGAGAACACUCAGAUCACUUGAGGGUGCAAACAUUAAUAGAUCACUUCUUGCACUAAGUAGCUGCAUAAAUGCCCUGGUUGAGGGAAAGAAGCAUAUCCCAUAUCGGAAUUCCAAGCUCACCCAACUGCUCAAGGAUUCUCUAGGUGGAGCUUGUAAUACUGUGAUGAUUGCAAAUAUCAGCCCAAGUAAUCUCUCAUUUGGUGAGACACAAAACACCCUUCACUGGGCUGAUCGGGCUAAAGAAAUUCGGACAAAGGUGUUUACUUUGAUUCCUUGGUCUUUUGUCCUUUAUGAAUUAUUUCUUUAUAUCAUCUGUUAAUGAAACAUGAGGCUGUACCUUUUCAUCAGGCCAGCUAAAUGUUUUGUGUAUUAGUGCACCUACCAAAUGCAUUGACUUUCAAUUGAUCAAGUAUGUACUGGUUUCGUAGAUUAAGCCAUAUUUUCUUUGUCAAUGGUCUUGGCUUCUGAUCAACUGCAUAAAUUUGUCAUUAUGUUUGUUACUUUGUUAUUUAGAUUUCCAUCCUCCCGUUAUUAUUGUUCUUCUUUUUCUCCUGUUCAAAAUAAAUUGAACUUCCAUUCCUGGCAGUAGGUUUUGUUAAAUUUUUUUCAUUUUUUCUGGGAUCAUGUAUCUUAGUUUUGAAGAAAACUUUGAAUAUUCAUCAAAUUAUUGCUAAUACUUCCAGGUAGUCUACCUGAUUAUCAGUUGCCUCUGUUUCAAGGAUCAAAAUCACAGUUUUUAUAUUUGCAGGCUUGUGAUGCCAAUGAAGAAAUUCAAGUACCUGAUUCAGAAACAGAUCAGGCCAAAUUAUUGCUGGAGUUGCAGAGAGAGAAUAGAGAUUUGCGAAUGCAACUGGCUCGCCAACAACAAAAGCUACUAGCAGUCCAGGCACAGACACUGGCAGCAAGCUCUUCUCCUACACUUUCUACUGCUUCAUCUCUCUUAUCUCCAGCACCAUCUUCUGCCCUACCACAUGAGAAACGUAAACCGAGACCCUCUUUCUUGGCGGGGACUUGUUUCACUCCAGAAUCUAAGAAAAAAGGAGCUGAUGAAACAGUGAGAUGCCUAAGGAAGACUGUCAAAGAAUUGGAGGCAGAAAUAGGGAGGAUGAAGAAAGAUCAUGCUCUGGAGAUAAAACAGAAGGAUGAUUUUAUCCUGGAGCUUUCACGGAAGGGUGCAAAAUUAGCAGGAGCAGGUGGGGAAGGAGUAAGAAGGAUUGUCACUAGAGCAAGUCUGCGGCCAAAGAAAGCACCCGAGGGAGAGUUGAAGAGCCCAAGUCAUCGUUUUACGUCUCCACAGCCUACAGCCAAAAAACGGAGUUUUUGGGACAUAACAACAGCUAACAGCCCAUCAGUUGCUACGUUAAAUGGAAGAAAGACAAGAAGCUAUAUUAGUUCAGAGUGUGCAGCAGCCCCAUCCAUGCUUCUCCAGGUAAAGUUUGCAUUCUGUUUGUUUUCCGAUAUUUAUAGUUUGAUGAAUUAUAAUGAUUGAAAGAUUUCUACUUGAAUUUUGAUGUAUUAUGUUAUGCUUAUCUUCUUAAUUGGAUUGGAUAACAUGAUGACCUAAAAAUUCCCUAAACAAAACAAGUAUACUUUUUAGUUUCUUUUUUCUGCAACUGAUGCAGCUUGCAUAUCCAUGUUUCUGGUCUAUGUUCCUGCUUGGACCACAUCUCAUCAAUUAUAUCAUUCAGCCUGGUUUUGCCCGCCAAAGACCUGCAACUGUGAAGCGGUAGAAGAUAAAAAAUGAGAGCUUUGUGGCAGAACAAGUUACAGUGAGAGGCGAAAAGUGAAGAUGAAGCAGUUGACGAUAAAGAUAGAAAGCUCUGCCCGCCUUCCUUGCUAGAAUUAUCUGCUCAAUCCGAUGGUCUGACAAGGAAGCUGGAAAUGCAUACUGUUUUAAGUACACGUGUGAUUAUGAUUUUUCAUCCGCUAUCUCCUAAGAAUAGAUGAUUCAUGUAGAUUCUUGCUUUUCUGUUGAUCUUGACAUGAUUUCUUCAAUCUACUUCACCAACAUUUAUUCCUUAGGCUGAUUUCUAACAGUUUGUCCUCCCCUGUUGUUUGAAUUCUAUUGAUUCACUAUUGUAGGACAGCCAUUUACAAUAAUUUAUUGGUUAUGUUUCUACUUUGCUUUUUAGCCUAUCUUGUGGAAAAUUUUUCCCCUUGCUUUUUCUGUCAAUAAAAUGAGGAUCGAGUCAAGAAAUUGGAGUUGAUAAUAUAGUAUUCACCGCGGUAAACUGUCCAUAACUAAAACAGAAUAUGGGUGCCUGACCAUGUCUCAUGUUCUCAUUGUGCAUGGUUCAUAACACAAGGAUCAUGAGACCCUUCUCGAAAUUUUUUGUGACCUGAACAUGGACUUAAAAUGUAAAUCCAAAGGGAGUUCUGGUGGUGCUUGACCAGCUACAGGAUCGGGACUAUCAGAGCUUUGAAAACAUGGAACUGUGUAUAUAACAUCAUAGAUUUACAUUAAUAAGAAAAAAAACUGAUAUACUUCAAGAAAUAAGAUGAUUAAGAAAGAUUGUCGUGCAGUAACUGUACAAAUAUGAAUAACAAAAAGAACGCAAUCAUUGCCAUUUUCUAAUUGUCUGUGUAUGUACAAUCACAAACUUCAGAUAAGUAUGAUAAUUAGGUUGGGUGGACGCUCGCAAGGAACUGAUGGGGCAGGGGAUGAGGGAGUAUACCCUUACCCCAUCCCCUAUCCCAUCGCCCGCCUAUAUAUAUAAUAAAUAUAUAUAACUAUUAAAACUAUUUAUAUAAUAUAUUUAAUAUUAUUAGUUAUAAUAAUUAUAUUAUAAUUUAUAGUAAUAAUCAUACAUUUAUAUUAAUACAAACUAUUGAUUAGUUAUACUAAUAUAUUUGUACUAAAUUACUAAUUACACUUUAUUCUUUUACACUUAACUUUUCACAAUUUCACAAUUCUUUUAUAUAGUAUAUUGUGUAUCGGUUAUGAUUUAGAUAUUUUUUUUGGUAUUUAAAAUACUUAAUUAUUGGCCCUAAAAUUUCGUUACAAGGCAAAUUUUUAUUAGCUCCCACGAGUGCACGAGGCGGGGUGGGGGUAACCUACUCCCGCCCUACUCUGCAGCCAUUCCUAAUUUCUGCUGCUUAUUUUGUGAUUUUGUGCUUUUCAAAUGUAUGCAACAUCUCCUUGAUUGGAUUUCUUGAGAUAACUAUUGGACAAUGGAAGUUAGAAAUUUUUAGAUAUUAAUCAGGAAAGGUAACAAAAAUCACCAGCACUCAGAAAACGCCAUUUAUGCAAGAAAUAAGUCAAAGUUUUCUGUCUAGUUUAAUCAAAGCAUAGUUAUGGUAUAAACGUGAAUAUUAAUCUACCUUUAAUCGUAUUAAUUGCGUUAAAAGCUUCUAAUGCGAUGGCCCUCAUUUCAUAUUUUUGCUAGUGGCAUGGUUUUCUGUAAUCUUAAGCUAGCUAUAUCAGCGAUAAGAGACUAAGGAGACAUAAUGGCCCUUCUGUUCUUUAACGAAUUUGUUUACAUCUUUCGUACUUAGUGAUCCAAGCACGUAUGAUCAAUGCAUCAAGAAAUGAUUGCUCAAACCAUGGCCACCUCUUAUGCUUCAAUUUUUUUUUUUCUUUUUCCUUAUUUAUCUUUCAUUUUUGUAUUCCUUCUUUGUUUUGGAUUGUAUUCCUUCUACUUAGAAUUUUGGUUAGAAAGAGAAAGAAAAGAAAAUUUUUUUAAAAAAAAGAACAAAGAAUAGCAUAUUUAUGUAGAUCUUUCUUUUGUAUUCCUUUCUUUCUUUUUUUUUUUUCAAAAGAAUCCCUCUCUUAUGUAGAUCUUCUUCCCAAUUCCACCAAAUAAACAUACUCUUAUAUCUGAAUACUAUAUAUGUGGGGUUUGGGACUGGGUUUAUCAAUUCCAAUGACUUCUUGGAUGAUGUAUUUUAUAUGCACACGAAGAUGAAUACAUAAUACUUAGUUUAUUUCAUCAAAAUGAUGGUCAGGUGCGACAACAGUACUACAGGCCACACAUCCAAUUAUAAACGUUUUUAGUUCUCAAGAACAAGAAAUUUUGCACCAAAGCAUGCUGUUUGUCGAGAGAAGAAACUGUGCUGCACAAGACUAGACUUUAAGCAAAGAUAUGAUGCUCCAGAAAAUCAUCUAUGCAAUCAGCAAAGUAGGAGCUAGGCUCUUCAAGUUUCAAUGAAUUAGUCCAUAAACUAUAGACAAGUAGGCACACAUUGCUAAAAGGAAUUUCUUAGUCGAUUUAGCUAUCAAAACCAGGUGAUGAGUGCUGAUUGGCGAGGGUGGUCUACAUAGAUUUAGGUUGGUAUUAUAUAACCAUAUGAGAUGAGAACCAAGUGCAUGCAUUUAGGUUACUUUUAGGUUUUAAUGGAUUUUUUUUCUUGACAAUGACAAUAUGCUCAUUUGCAGGUUUAAAUGCAUUUCAUACGUGCAUGCAUUUGCAGGUUUAAAUGACAAAAUAUAUAAUUACAUCACUCGAUUCAUCCUUUAAAUAUUCUAUUGACGAGCAUAUACAAUACGCACACAAAAUACAUAUUAGGGUUGCAGAAGAAAUUAAAAUAGACAUACGAAUAUCAUUUACCUAAAAGAAAAAUUAUAGUAACAAACACUUGAAACCUUUCUUAGAGAAGCCAUAGCUCACCAAGAAGCUUUGAAGUUUUUUGAGCCUGCAUUGACUGACGUAAUUAUAGACAAAGCAGCAAGACAAAGCUUUAUGCAUAGCAAGCAACUUUUGAAUCUUUGAACCAUAAUCUCCAAUUCUAUCUUUCCUCCCGUUGCUGUAAUCUGGGGGAGAUCCUGGAACAUGGCCCCUCCAGCCUCCAGCAGCUUCUCCUUUUCCACUUUGGAUUAAGACAACAUUACAAAGCCUUGAAAUCAGGAUGUCAUGCCUUAAUAUCAGUAACUAUUGGUUCUCAUGAUGGCAAAACUCUAUUUUUUUUCUUCCCUACUUACCCCUUUAACGCAUAUUUUGAUGCUGUAGUGGCUUAUAUUUGUCAUAAUUACGUUAAUCAGUGGAAACUACAGAUUGAUGAAAUGAUGUUAAACAAAGUUUAGUACAAUUCAGCGGCUUAUGAAUCAUUUUAUCCAGUCAAAGCAUUCUUCAGCAAAUAAAUAUUCUAUAUGGCUUCUUAGUCUUAGUCAUCACUACAGUCUUUUUUUUUUUUUGAAGCAAAAAACUGUUUCCACAAAUGGGUGAAGUAUAUCCUCGUUUUCGACCAAUAAAUACUUAAUUUUUUUAAGCUUAAUUUGAUGAUAAUUUGCCAAUAAGUACUAGAGUCAAUGCUUUUAGUAGCAAUCUUGUCCUCUCCCCCCAUGGUCUUAAAGGUUCAUAAAACAAACUAGCUGCGUUGUUAAUUAAUUUUGUCGACCCAAAAAGCAAAGAACAAAGUGUAACAAAAAAUAUUAUUCCUAUGUGUGUUGCAUAUACUUUUAAUUGAAAUUGUUGGAGCUUCCUUCCCAAAUUUAGUUGUUAUGAAAAUCCCUAAAAUUUGUGUAUAAAAAUGGUUUCUUUGCAACUGAUCGAUGACAAAAUCUUAGUCAUUCUCCUCAACACAAAGGUGAACAUAACAAUUUGACUGAUCUACACUUCUGCAUAACCAAUUUAUUUGCACUUGCCACAGAUAUAGCAAAUGUUGACAAAAGAAUUUGUGUCUUAUGUACCUUCCUAAUUAAGUUACAAUGUUUAGAUUAGUUGGUAUGUUAGUGUUUUAAUGUGAUUGAUUGGGAACCAAGAAUUCAAUAAGUGUGGCGCUCUUUAGCCUAUUAACUACUCAUUGUCUGAGUCAAAAAAAGAUGUUUCAUUGGUACUUCAAAGAAAUGAGAUGUUUACUCAAAUGUGUUUUUUUUGCUGCAUUGUCGUUUAAUACAUGGUAUCACAAAUAAGCACAGGAUAGGUUUGGAACACGUUUUCCAAUGAAAACAAGGAUGCUUCCCCAUAGCUAAAACUCCAUCAGUGGCUGAUGAUAGCCUUCAUAUGGGUGCUGAAGUGGAGGAGGAUACAGGAAGUGGCACCAGGUUGCAGCCUCUAUCGAAGUUUGAUCCCUGCAGGAGACGUGGUGGCAGUGGCGAUGAUCCUCUUCUGUUUCAGCCUGCAAGAUUUGUCAAAUAAAUUGGUUAAGCAGUCACUUGUAUUCCAUUGCCUGUGGAGCAUGAAAAUGUAGCUGUGACCACAGGGGAUCAUGUAUUUUCAUGAAUGUUAUGCUAGUUUCGACCUGAUCUCUAGAUUUAGUUGGUGAAUGUUUUUUACAUUUGGCACAAAAGUUUGCUGUUCUGGUUAGCUUGUCUCAUUCCUGGCAUUUAUGAUGCAGAAAGCAGGGAAACCCCAAUUUGAAUAUCUUAGGAAUGGUAAGAAAUGGUGAAGAAUACUUUCAAAGAUAACAAAGGAGAGAUCAAGUAUCAGGAAAGAAGAAGGGAAUGUAUAGGAGGAAAGGUGUUGGUUUUUUGGGGCAUAAACUAAGAAACAACACCUUAGUGUUGCAAAAAAAGCUUAUAAGAGACUUGUAUUGAAGGUAGAAAAUGAGCUUAUAUUCUACAUUCAUCAACUCACUAUUUAUAGUGAUUAUAUGAAACAAACUAUCAAAAUAUUCAACUAAUAAUUAUCCUAAAAAUCUCAACAAAAUAUAAUCUUCUACUACUAGCAAAUCUUAUCUAAAAUAUUUGUUAACAAACCAACAUGAUCUUUGGUUAACAAAUAUCCUUAUUUUUUAAUAACUAAAUUAUUUUGAUAUCAAACAAAAUCUAGCAAAAUAUGUAGAAAAAGUUGCAUAUUCCAACACUCCUCCUUGCCACUUUUGCUGCAAAUUUUGAAUUGUCUUCUCAAAUCUUUGAAUCUUGUUUUGGACGAGACUUUUGUAAGAAAUUCUGCAAUUGAUGAUUAGCCUUGCAAUGAACUUCUUCCUUUGGAUUUUUAUGCAAGCUAAAUAUUAGUCUUGCAACAAGCCACUUCUUCUGUCUUCUCAUGCCAAACUCCACAUAAAAGAUGAUUUUUUUUUUUUAUGUUUCCAAAUAACCUUAUCAUAGGUUUAAAUGAAACAUCUUUUGACGAUAUUUGAACCUAUACAGAAAAUAUGAAAUUCUGCAUGGUUCUUCAUUUUGUCAUCACCAUCAAAAUCUGUAGACUCAAAAACAGAAAUGUUAUAAUCUUGAUAAAUAUCAGGAAUCAAUUUGAUACUUCCUGACUUAUCAAUGAUCUCCUCCUGAAUUUUUUCAGGAUCUGAAUUCUUGAUUUCAUCAUCAUAUUCCACUUUAGAAUUGUCAAAAUCCGACCAAUUCAUAGUGAAACUUCUCCUUUUUAUUUUAAUUGAGAAUAAUUUAUUCUCAAUCAAAUCAUUAGCCAUUAUCUUUGUGAAAACGACAUCAAAAACUGAUAUGUGAAUGCUGGCCUUGGAUGUCUGUCUAAUUGCAACUCUGUGGUCUCUAAUUUGUGUAUCCAUCAGCUCUUCAAAUGCUGGUGAAACAAAAUUCGUCUCCACCAUAUCCCGUAGAUCAUUGACUACCAAAUAAGUCCAAAAUUUUAUGGCCCAAAUUUGGUAAGUUUCACCACUAAAAGUUGAAACAUUUGACAAAAAGUUCUUUCCUGUCAUGGCUUUGAACUUAUAAAGGAUCCUCACCAAUGCAUCACUCUCAAAAAAAGAAGACUCAGGCCCUUAAGAUAUAGGCUCUUGAUACCACUUUGUUGGUUUUUUGGGGCAUAAACUAAGAAACAACACCUUAGUGUUGCAAAAAAAGCUUAUAAGAGACUUGUAUUGAAGGUAGAAAAUGAGCUUAUAUUCUACAUUCAUCAACUCACUAUUUAUAGUGAUUAUAUGAAACAAACUAUCAAAAUAUUCAACUAAUAAUUAUCCUAAAAAUCUCAACAAAAUAUAAUCUUCUACUACUAGCAAAUCUUAUCUAAAAUAUUUGUUAACAAACCAACAUGAUCUUUGGUUAACAAAUAUCCUUAUUUUUUAAUAACUAAAUUAUUUUGAUAUCAAACAAAAUCUAGCAAAAUAUGUAGAAAAAGUUGCAUAUUCCAACAAAAGGUCUUUAGCCCAAUUGUUUACAAGUCACAUCUUCGGUACUUAGUGAUCCAAGCACGUAUGGCUAAGAAAUGAUUGUUCAAACCAUGGCCACCGCUAUGCCUGAAUAUUGUUUCUUCCUUUUUCCUUCUCUAGCUAUCUUUCCUUUUGCUUUCCUUCUUCGAUUUUUUUACUAUAUUUCUUCCAUCUAGAAUUUUUGGGUAGAAACCGAAAGACAAGACAAAGAAAAGAAAAACAUAGAGUACCAUAUUAUAAUUUGAAAAAGGAAAAAAAUGGAAGGAAAUUGAAUAAACCCUAAAUUUGCACAUAUAACUCGGGGAAAUCUAGUCCCUCUUCACCCAAAAAGUAAACAAAAAAAAAUCUAUCAAUUAUUAUUCAUUUUUCUUCUAUCAAAUAAAUUAAAUCCCCUCUUUAUCUUUUAUAAUUUCCAAUUCCACCAAUUUAAUACUCUUUUUUUUUGUGGCAAUUUAACAUACUCUUUUAUGUUAAUAGUACUAUAUGUUUGGGGUUUGGAUAUGGGUUUAUCAAUUCACACAAAGAUGAUGAAUAAAUCAUACUGAUUCAAUUCAUCAACAUGAUACCAAGGAACAACAACAGUCCAAACAUAGCAUUAUAAACUUUUUCUACUCCUCAAGAACAAGAAUUUUUGGUGCCGUAAAGUGCUGUUUGUCGAGAGAAGAAACUGUGCUGCACAAGACUCUAAACAAAGGUGCUCUAAAAAUCAUGCAUUCAUUUGACAAAGUAAGAGGGCUCUUCAAGUUUCAAUGAAUUAAUCCCUAAACUAUGCAAAAGCAGACACACAUUGCCAAAAAAGAAUUUCUCAGUAGAUGCAGCUAUCAAAACUAUGAGAUGGGUGCGGCCGGCACCUACAUUUAGGUUACUAGCUAUGUUAUAUAUGAGAUGUGAACCUGGCGUGUUUAGAUUUGCUUUGGCAUUUUCUGUAAUGGAUUAAUCUUUUUAACGCUAACGAUAAAUAGAUUGACGAGUUCGAAUGCAUGUGUUAUGUGUAUGAAACUUUAGUACAAACUAUAUGAUAAGAUGAUAAACUACUAAAAUUCACAGCGAACUGUGCACAUACAUGACUCAUUUCAUCUAAAUAGCCUGAUCAACAUUUUAUUUUUUUUCUCCUUUUUUAAGCCUGAUAAUGACCAGCAUCUAUAUUAGGCAAAAUACAUAACAAGAGGGUAAAAGAAAUUUAAAAAGAAAUAUGAUUAUCAUUACCUAUACAACAUUAUGGGCAAUAUUAUCCACCGGAACCAGAGAUUGAGGUUUUUGGAGGCAAGAUUAGUGAAGGUGUACAUUUAAUAAGAUACUCUUAUAUGUAGUAAAAGUUUGGGGGAAAACUCUAGAAAUUUUCAAAGUUUUUAAGGGGACACUAAAUGAUUUAGUAAAUUUUUUUUGUUGGGGGGGGGGGGAUCAAAAUCUAAUUUCUUUAUUAGGAUAUAAGUGAGAAUUUUAAUUGUUUUAAAGGGCUAUAAUAGGAUUGUCAAAAGCCUUAGGGGGAAGGGGUGACAGCAACAAUCCCUCCUUGUCCUCCUAGUUGAUUUGUAAUGGUAUUCUAAAAUUGUUAUUCACGCUCUUAUAUAGUAACUUUUCAACUUUUCAAAAAAGAAAAAAAAGAGUGACGAGAGAGAGGAGCAUGAAUAACAAUUUCCUUUUGGAAAUACAACUAACAUUUUUGGAGAUUAUAGUGUCAAACACUUUAGACCAAGUUAGACAUAGAUAGCUCACCAAGAAGCUUUGAAGUUUCUUGAGCUUAUCCUGCAUUGAUUGAAUUAAUUAGAAGACAAAGUAGCAAACCAAAGCUUUAUGCAUAGCACAUAGCUUUUGAAUCUUUGAACCAUAAUGACUAGAUGAUAAAAAAAAAACAAAAAACCUCAACCUCGAUUGCUGUGAACAUAAUCUCCAAUUCUAUCUUUCCUCCCGUUGCUGUAAUCUGCGGCAGAUCCUCAAACAUGGCCCCUCCAGCCUCCAGCACCUUCCCCCUUUUUCACUUUGCACUAUUAAGAAAACAUUAGAAAGCCUUGAAAUGAGGAAACAUAAGAUGCCAUGCCAUAAUAUCUCAAACUAUUGGAUCUCCUGAUGGCAAAACGUACUCUCUUAACCCCUUUAUCUAAUAGUACACAUUUUGAUGCUCUAGUGGCUUGUAUUUGUCAUAAUUACGUCAAUCAGUGGCAACUAUAAAUUGAUGAAAUGAUGUUAACUAGCUAGUAGUACUACUAUAUUCUCUGAGUUUAAAUGCAAUUCAAUAUAUAGCAAACAUCUCUAGCAUUGGUUGGUGGUAUCUUUAAGAAUAAUGAAACUUGCACUUGAUGAUCAAUUGAGCUAAUUUAUUCAUUUGCUUUGUGGGAUGGUGAUCAAGUAGAGGGGAAUCACAAUGUUACAAGAUAAUUGUGCAGGCCAUAACAAAAGAAUGGAUAGGCCGAUCCAGUGGUGGAAUUUUAAUAUUGGAAAAAGAACUGGCACAUCAUUUUACCUUCAAACAUGAUUUUUUUUUUUCUUUGAGUAUUAUUGAGUCCCUAGCUAUCUCCUUGAUUUUUAACAUAUAGGGCUAACUUUGAGAUAAAAGGAUUAAAAACAAAAAGGAUAUUCCAUCUCCUAGACAUUUGUUUGUUAUAUCCUCGAGCAAACAUGAGGGAAAGGCGGCUUUGGAUUUCUUCACAACCUGAUUCCAUUCCCCUGGCUAGGUUGUGCUCAAGAUGCUGUUUUCCUAAUGCUGAAUAUUGUCUCAUGUUCUCAGGUUGGAUCAUUUGUGUUGUGUUGUGGACAGAGGAUGACAUUCUGGCUAAUUUUUAACUAUUUAAUGAACAGGGCAAUGCUUAAAAAAUAUGGCAGGCCAAACUUUGGAGCAAUAUAAAACCUGUCAGGCAAAGAUUUGUGAUUGAGUUUGCUUUUGGUUGGGGACUACAAUGAUUCAAAGCUUUAGUAAAAUGUUGUUCUUGGGAUUCUCAUACACGUUACUUUGAUCAACUUAGACCAAACUUAUGCACCAAAAUCAAUGAUUGGAACAUCUAAUACCUUUGGAUCGGAUGCUGAAAUUUCACAGGUAUGACGUUUUUUAAUAGGCUGUUUGUCAGAAAAGCAACCUCACAAUCAAAAUAAAGAUGUAAAAGAGUACACUUCAAUGAAUUAAGGAUGGAAAACCAGACAGCUGGAAUUGAUAAUACCACAAAAAUGUCAAAAGUGAAAUCCUGUCACAAGACUGGGAAUUGGGAAAUGCUUAAACUCAAAAAACAGGAAGAGACGAUGAAUUAAUAUAGGAAAAAGAAUUGAGAAUAUGUGAAAGCAGAGGAAGAUCUCUGAUAUUUCCAGCAAAUAUGGUUUUUGUUUGUCCAAGAAUCUGCUAAGCAAUCAAAAAGUAUACAGGUUUACCGUGCCAGAAGCAGAGGAAAAUUAUGCAAUACCUAUGCUAAGACGACCUUAAAAGUUCUUCAAAGGAGUAUGAUGAAACCAGGACACCUAUCAUUGAACAUUAGAGCAUUGCCCGUCAAGAAAUUUGUCGAAGAACAAAUUCAUCAUAAGACCGCUAGACAUAAAUAACAGGAUUUAUUUCAACAUAAUCUGAAACUUCUUCACUGAAGUAAAGAAAGCAUUGGCUAUUAGUAUAUAUUACUUACUUGAGCUGAAAUGGUCCACUGUUGAUCAGAUACAACAAUCAGUGAAGAAGAAAGUUGGAAAUAGAUGUAUAAACUUAGAAAGAUUAACUAAGAAUAGAGUAAGAAACCAACUCAUGAAUCUUUUCUACAUUUAGGCAAGUAAUAUAUAGUUUCCAUUCCACCCCAAAACUAAAAAUUACAGCAAACACAGUUUCUUGACAUUCUAUAACUACAAAAACAGGGAAAGACCAUGUUAAGAAACAUCCAAGGCAACUAAACCUCAAUGUUCAUGGCAGAGUUCUGGAUGAUCCUUAAUUUCCUCCUCUACCAAAGAACGAAAAGACUGAAAAGAAAAACUACUAUCUAAGCAGCUUGCAUCAGUGGAACUUCCGGUGGAUGUUUAGACUCUAAGCAAGUAAAUACUGAGUUCAGGAGCUCCAUUGCUAUCAGGAUUCAUCAUGUAAAAUGCCUCCGAAUCUCUAGAACCAACAACUCUCUCGAACUUAGCUCUCAUGUACAUCAGUUCUCCAUCAGACUCCGCAGCAUCAUCUGCAUUUCCAGGCAGAACUCCUGCUCCCAUCGAAAUGGGCUCCACGGCCUUCAAUAUAUUCCAUUCUUUUGGUCCACAGUCCCUCCUUGUAGCAAAGCCACACCUCUUUCCAUUGCAGUAAGUCCUCCAUCGAGGCUCUUCUAGUAGUCUUGUGCUCUUCUUUUCUUCCUUGUCACAUUCCAAUGCAAUCCGAGCCAAACCAGAAGCCAUUUCACGAACCAAUCCAGUUAUAGGUGUAGCAAGCUCAAUCAAGAAGACUGGUUGUGAAUUGGGAUCCUUCUGGAAUGCAAAAUGUACGUGUCCUCUUCUGUUGCCAAAGAGUGUUCCCACCACUCUAGUGCCAAGACCUUGCUGAAAAUGCGCCCUGUGUCGACCAAAAGCCGUCAGAACAGAGCGCAGCCUAGAAACUGCUAUUGCUUGCAGUUUCUUCCUUGUAGCAUUAGCAGAAGUAGCUGCUGAUUCUUGCACCUGUUUAUCAUCUUCCCUUUUCACCUGCUCUAGAAGGUUCUUUGAAGAAUUUGAGUCUACAGGCACCUUAUCCUUCUCCCCUCUUACUUCUUCAAUAGCUUUGGAGCAGGACUUGGUUGAAACCUCUUCAUCUUCAUUACUGACCUUGGUUGUCCAGUGAAACUGCCUCUUGGAAGCAGGGUCCUGGAUAUUCUUUGCCAUGAUUGUCUUCAUCUGAGAGAGGAAAUACUAAGGGCAAGACAAAUCCUUUAAGAAUGAGUUAGUGGGAAUGGAAAGAGAAUGAGAGAGAAAAUAUUCCAAUUUGUUCCUUUUUUCCUGUGGAUUUGUAAUUUCUUUCUUUAUUUCCUUUCUCUUUUGUUUGUACUGCUUUUGGUAUAGAGCAUAUCUAAGAAUCCUGACAAAGAGAGCAUAAGCUACCCCACAGCAAUAGGAGAGAAAAGCACAAAGAUUUUUGAAAUAAAGAAAAGAAUCUGGGGAGACAUUGGUUGUGUUACUUCACUUUCUUGUGGGGUAGAUAGUGAAAGGAGUUUUGCUCUGCUGACUCUUCUUUUGACUUCAAUCUCAAUACAGCGAAAUUGGAGUGCUCACAAAUACCAGCAAAAAGAACCAAAACAAAAGAGACAUCGCCAUUCACACUGAACUGUCCAACACGUACCAGAAUGAUGUUUGGUUCCAGUAAACUGAGAAAACAUCCAGAUUCUCCUAAGGUCUGCACCAGACAUGAUAUCCCCAAAAGACUGGUAGUGCUCAGUUAUCGGCAAUAUAAUUCACUCGGUGACGUAAUGUUUAGGUUAGGCGUUCAGAUUCCCGCAUAGAACUUCAUGAGUUGUGCCCAUUUCACCAACCACAAACUUUACCUUCCUGGGGAUCAUCACUCUAGUGGAUCCCUUCAAUCAAUGUCUAGGCUUGCACACGACAGAAGUAAAUACACGCAUGCACCAGGUGAUAAAUCGCAGAAAACAUAAAUUCAAGAUAUCAAAGGGUCCAUUUGAUUGCGUAGUUCAACAAAGAAUCUGAAGCUUAAGAGAGAUUCAUUUGAUUUACGGCUUAAAGAAAACCUGAAUUUGAUGCGUAGCUUGGUGGCCGAUGGCCAGUUUCUUGCCUUAGUGCAGGAGUUGAGAGAGCACUUCCUAAGUAUUGCAUCUCAAAGUAUGCAAAACAAGCACAACAAAAAGAUGGAAAGGGAAAAGAAAGCAUAGCCAGGUGAAUAAAAAAUAAAAAAAAAACGCAGUUACUACUAGUUAGCAUCCUCCCAAGUAACACAGACCGCCAUUUUAAGCAUCCCAAGUAGGACCUAUUCUAGUGGCCUCGGAGCACCAUGUAAAGCUGGAAAACCCACUCCGGAGAAUGAUCAAAUGAUUACUUGGCCACCAUAGAAUUUAGCAACUCAUCAACUCAAUUCAGAGGGCGCAUUUUAUACUGUAAACUAUAACGUUAUCCUUCCCAAUGGCUAGUCGUCCACUACAGACUAGGCCAUGGCUUUCCAUGGAAAAGGUGCAGUGCUGCAACUUCAAUCCUCAUUCACUAAAGCUCCUCCUUGGAUUAAAUGGGAUACUAAGCAAGAGAAGCACACCGCCUGACUGCACUAACUGAGCUAAAUAUGAAACACACACACACACAGACAGGACGGCAAAUUUUAACUGACUAAUUAGUAAUUACACAGUAUAUAAACAUAAUCCGUACGGUACAAUUCUAACUCGGAACAGUAUAAAAUGUCCACUACCAAAAGCUUUUUGUACAUCAGAUAGGAAAGAGAAGCACUAAUUAACCAGUCCAGAUGCUUGCCUACAGGUUCGUUAUAAUGGAGGUCCUACAAGUUAGCUAUUCAAACUGGGCUCAGGUUCUGAGUCCGGUUGCUUGGGGACUGUAGGAGGAACAAUGGC
RNAcentral lists this long non-coding RNA (47563 nucleotides) under Coffea arabica (coffee). Lineage: Eukaryota; Viridiplantae; Streptophyta; Magnoliopsida; Gentianales; Rubiaceae. The record is from RNAcentral.